Non-coding RNA from Pelobates cultripes (western spadefoot toad), 47436 nucleotides. NCBI's taxonomy places the organism in Eukaryota, Metazoa, Chordata, Amphibia, Anura, Pelobatidae. The record is from the annotation of a GenBank genome assembly.
GGGAUGAGGAGAGCUGCCCUGCUGUAUCCCUGCCCUGAGCUGCACCCACAGGGUGAAAGAAGCACUGCACCAGGGGAGCUGCAUGGCCACAAGGUGGGCAAUCCCAGCCACUCACUGACUGAGUGUGAGAGAGACAUGGCUUGUGUGACUGAGUGUGAGAGAGACAUGGCUUGUGUGACUGACUGAGUGUGAGGGAGACAUGGCUUGUGUGACUGAGUGUGAGAGAGACAUGGCUUGUGUGACUGACUGAGUGUGAGAGAGACAUGGCUUGUGUGACUGACUGAGUGUGAGUGAGACAUGGCUUGUGUGACUGAGUGAGUGAGACAUGGCUUGUGUGACUGACUGAGUGUGAGAGAGACAUGGCUUGUGUGACUGACUGAGUGUGAGAGAGACAUGGCUUGUGUGACUGAGUGUGAGAGAGACAUGGCUUGUGUGACUGUGUGAGUGAGACAUGGCUUGUGUGACUGACUGAGUGUGAGGGAGACAUGGCUUGUGUGACUGAGUGUGAGGGAGACAUGGCUUGUGUGACUGAGUGUGAGAGAGACAUGGCUUGUGUGACUGACUGAGUGUGGACAUGGCUGUGUGACUGAUGGAGUAUUAUGGCUUAGAUCGGAGGAGUGAGAUAUGGCUUGUGGACUGAGUGUGGAGAGAGCAUAUGGCUGUGUGACUGGGAGUGAGAUAUGCGGCUUAAAGUGGACUGAGUGUGAGAGAGACAUGGCUUAGUGACUGUGUGAGAGAUGGCGGCUGUGUGACUGACUGAGUGAGAGACAUGCGGCUGUGACUGACUGAGUGAGUGGAGAUAUGGCUUGCGAGGAGAGAUGAUGGCUGAAAGUACUGAGUGAGGGAGAUAUUUAUGUGAAUUGGAGUGGAGGAGACAUGGCUUCAGUGCAUCGAGUGUGAGGAGAGACAUGGCUGUUACUGAGUGAGAGACAUGCUUGUGUGACUGAGUGUGAGGAGAGACAUGGUUGGUGUGGAGAGACAUGGCUUGUGUUACUGAGUGUGAGGGAGACAUGGCUUGUGUGACUGUGUGUGAGAGAGACAUGGCUUGUGUUACUGAGUGUGAGGGAGACAUGGCUUGUGUGACUGAGUGUGAGGGAGACAUGGCUUGUGCGACUGAGUGUGAGAGAGACAUGGCUUGUGCGACUGAGUGUGAGAGAGACAUGGCUUGUGUGACUGAGUGUGAGAGAGACAUGGCUUGUGUGAGGGAGACAUGGCUUGUGUGACUGAGUGUGAGGGAGACAUGGCUUGUGUGACUGAGUGUGAGGGAGACAUGGCUUGUGUGACUGAGUGUGAGGGAGACAUGGCUUGUGUGACUGUGUGUGAGUGAGACAUGGCUUGUGUGACUGACUGAGUGUGAGUGAGACAUGGCUUGUGUGACUGAGUGUGAGAGAGACAUGGCUUGUGUGACUGUGUGUGAGUGAGACAUAUGUGUUAUAUGUGUAGGUGUGUGUAGUUACAUAUGGUGUUUAUAGUUAUAUGUAGGCGUGUAUAGUUAUAUGUAGUUGUGUAUAGUUAUAUGUAGGCGUGUGUAGUUAUAUGUAGGUGUGUAUAGUUAUAUGUAGGCGUGUAUAGUUAUAUGUAGGCGUGUGUAGUUAUAUGUAGGUGUGUAUAGUUAUAUAUAGGUGUGUAUAGUUAUAUAUGGUGUGUAUAGUUAUAUGUAGGCGUGUGUAGUUAUAUGUAGGUGUGUAUAGUUAUAUAUAGGUGUGUGUAGUUAUAUGUAGGUGUGUAUAGUUAUAUAUAGGUGUGUAUAGUUAUAUGUAGGCGUGUGUAGUUAUAUGUAGGUGUGUGUAGUUAUAUGUAGGCGUGUAUAGUUAUAUGUAGGCAUGUGUAUAGUUAUAUGUAGGCGUGUGUAGUUAUAUGUAGGCGUGUGUAGUUAUAUGUAGGCGUGUAUAGUUAUAUGUAGGCGUGUGUAGUUAUAUGUAGGCGUGUGUAGUUAUAUGUAGGUGUGUAUAGUUAUAUGUAGGUGUGUAUAGUUAUAUGUAGGUGUGUGCAGUUAUAUGUAGGUGUGUGUAGUUAUAUGUAGGCGUGUAUAGUUAUAUGUAGGCGUGUAUAGUUAUAUGUAGGCGUGUGUAGUUAUAUGUAGGCGUGUGUAGUUAUAUGUAGGCGUGUAUAGUUAUAUGUAGGCGUGUGUAGUUAUAUGUAGGCGUGUGUAGUUAUAUGUAGGUGUGUAUAGUUAUAUGUAGGUGUGUAUAGUUAUAUGUAGGUGUGUGCAGUUAUAUGUAGGUGUGUGUAGUUAUAUGUAGGCGUGUAUAGUUAUAUGUAGGCGUGUAUAGUUAUAUGUAGGCGUGUGUAGUUAUAUGUAGGCGUGUGUAGUUAUAUGUAGGCGUGUAUAGUUAUAUAUGGUGUGUAUAGUUAUGUGUGUAUGUGUGUGUGUAGCUAUAUAUAGGUGUGUGUAUAGUUAUAUAUUUAGGUAUUUAUUUCUAUAUAGAUUUAUAUAUAGGUUCUCUCUCUCUCUCUCUCUCUCUCUCUCUAGAUGUUUUAGUAAGGGACUCUCUCCCUCUCUCUCUCUCUCUCUAUAUAUAUAUAUAUAUAUGUAGGUGUUUAUAUAACUGUAACAGAUCACCUGGCACCCCGACUGGGUACCUCCAUUGAAGGAUGCUCCUAGCGCUUCCUGAGGGCUCCAAGCACUCCAGCCGACACCAUAACCACUGUAGACUCCUUCAGAGAGCAAGACAGGAACAAGCUCUUAUAGGGGCUCAGUGAUUAUAGCAAGGGAAUAUGCAGAGCAUAGCAAUCCCUUGUAGCAGAUUCCCCCAAUAAGAGACGGCACUCCAAAUUGAGGGUGAAGUAGAACUGACUGUACUGGCACAUACAGCCUCUUUUAUUCACAAUCCACAAACAUAGUACUGCCCACAGGGUUUUGAAAUACAACCAAUCAAUCCGUACAAUACACACAGACACUCCUACACAAAAUCCUCCCCUCUGCCUGUGAUAUGAUUACUGAACACAAUGGUUAAUAUAAUUAUCACAGGCAGAGAAAUACAGUUUUUACAAAAUAUUAAUAACUUCCAAAAUAUACAUGACACAAACAUAAAUAAUUACAUAUUCGAACUCAGCACACUUUAAUUAUAAACAUAUCCAAAAUUCAGCCAAUUCCAUCCAGGUUAAAAAGUUAGCUGGAGGUCCCUUUUUGACCGACCGCAAGCACAUUUUCAUGCCCAAAACAGUUCCAUAGAUUUGGGCUGUGCGGUCGGUCUAUUUCAGGCUGAAAAAACCAAUGGGACUUAGUCUCUGCGGCUGCAAAAUCAUUGUGGGAGAAGGUAAGGCUCAGUGGUGUUCGCUGAACUCAGUCACACAACUAGCCAAUUUCAGUUCCAUGAAUUUGGCUACACACACCGCUGACCGCAUUGAAUAAAAAAAGAUGGCCGCCGCUACGUGUUCGUUUGUCGAAUGGCGGUCCCCCAGCGUUCGGCAAUUUACCUACAGCAGGCUCCCAGCCUGGAAGGUAAAUUGCCUGCACACUUCCAGCUCUGUGCAGUGAAUGGCUCAGUAAGCCCCAAUUGCCGAACCAUAAGGGAAAAAGCCAUUUAAAAGUUAUUUCCAAAGUCUGGGGACAUUGGGGACACCAUCUUAAAGGGGCAGUGUCCCAAACAAGUCUGGGGACACAGAUUUAAAAGGGGCAUUGUCCCAAAUUUUCGCCAUGCCCUAAAAUGGUUCUUAAAGGGCUAGCAGCACCAUACAAAUCCAAUAUGCCCAAAUCAUGUCUUUAAAGGGCAAUACAUCCCAGGGGCCAUAGUCACAUGGCAGGAGGCUGGCAAUCCGUCUUCUCCAAUGCCCAGUGGCGAGGUCGGUUUCGCCACAAUAACUAAUAAGGGACGCUUUCUCUCUCUCUCUAUAUAUAUAUAUAUAUAGGUGUUUAAUAAGGGACUCUCUCUCUCUCUAUAUAUAUAUAUAUAUAUAUAUAUGUAUAUGUAGGUGUUUAUAUAACUAAUAAGGGACUCUCUCUCUCUCUAUAUAUAUAUAGGUGUUUAUAUACAGUUGCAAGAAAAAGUAUGUGAACCCUUUGGAAUGAUAUGGAUUUCUGCACAAAUUGGUCAUAAAAUGUGAUCUGAUCAUCAUCUAAAUCACAACAAUAGACAAUCACCGUCUGCUUAAACUAAUAACACACAAAGAAUGAAAUGUUGCCAUGUUUUUAUUGAACACACCAUGUAAACGUUCACAGUGCAGGUGGAAAAAGUAUGUGCACCCCUAGACUAAUGACAUCUCCAAGAGCUAAUUGGAGUGAGAUGUCAGCCAACUGGAGUCCAAUCAAUGAGAUGAGAUUGAAGGUGUUGGUUACAGCUGCCCUGCCCUAUAAAAAAACCACACACCAGUUCUGGGUUUGCUUUUCACAAGAAGCAUUGCCUGAUGUGAAUGAUGCCUCGCACAAAAAGAGCUCUCAGAAGACCUACGAUUAAGAAUUGAUGACUUGCAUAAAGCUGGAAAGGGUUAUAAAAGUAUCUCCAAAAGCCUUGCUGUUCAUCAGUCCACGGUAGGACAAAUUGUCUAUAAAUGGAGAAAGUUCAGCACUGCUGCUACUCUCUCUAGGAGUGGCCGUCCUGUAAAGAUGACUGCAAGAGCACAGCGCAGACUGCUCAAUGAGGUGAAGAAGAAUCCUAGAGAGUCAGCUAAAGACUUAAAAAAGUCACUGGCAAAUGCUACCAUCCCUGUAAGCGAAUCUACAAUACGUAAAACACUAAACAAGAAUGGAUUUCAUGGGAGGAUACCACAGAGGAAGCCACUGCUGUCCAAACAAAACAUUGCUGCACUUUUACAGUUUGCACAAGAGCACCUGGUUGUUCCACAGCAGUACUGUUAAAAUAUUCUGUGGACAGAUGAAACCAAAGUUGAGUUGUUUGGAAGAAACACACAACACUAUGUGUGGUGAAAAAAAGGCACAGCACACCAACAUCAAAAUCUCAUCCCAGCUGUGAAGUAUGGUGGUGGGGGCAUCAUGGUUUGGGGCUGCUUUGCUGCAUCAGGGCCUGGACAGAUUGCUAUCAUCAAAGGAAGAAUGAAUUCCCAAGUUUAUCAAGACAUUUUGCAGGAGAACUUAAGGCCAUCUGUCUACCAGCUGAAGCUCAACAGAAGAUGGGUGUUGCAACAGGACAAUGACCCAAAGCAUAGAAGUAAAUCAACAACAGAAUGGCUUAAACAGAAGAAAAUACGCCUUCUGAAGUGGCCCAGUCAGAGUCCUGACCUCAACCCGAUUGAGAUGCUGUGGCAUGACCUCAAGAAAGCGAUUCACACCAGACAUCCCAAGAAUAUUGCUGAACUGAAACAGUUCUGUAAAGAGGAAUGGUCAAGAAUUACUCCUGACCGUUGUGCACGUCUGAUCUGCAACUACAGGAAACGUUUGGUUGAAGUUAUUGCUGCCAAAGGAGGUUCAACCAGUUAUUAAAUCCAAGGGUUCACAUACUUUUUCCACCUGCACUGUGAAUGUUUACAUGGUGUGUUCAAUAAAAACAUGGCAACAUUUCAUUCUUUGUGUGUUAUUAGUUUAAGCAGACUGUGAUUGUGUAUUGUUGUGAUUUAGAUGAUGAUCAGAUCACAUUUUAUGAUCAGUUUGUGCAAAAAUCCAUAUCAUUCCAAAGGGUUCACAUACUUUUUCUUGCAACUGUAACUAAUAAGGGACUAUCUCUCUCUCUCUAUAUAUAUAUAUAUAUAUGUGUGUGUGUUUAUAUAACUAAUAAGGGACUCUCUCUCUCUCUAUAUAUAUAUAUAGGUGUUUAUAUAACAAGGCUCUCUCUCUAUAGGUGUUUAUAUAACUAAUAAGGAACCCUCUCUCUCUAUAGGUGUUUAUAUAACUAAUAAGAUACACACUCUCUCUCUAUAUAUAUAUAUGUGUGUGUGUUUAUAUAAAUAAUAAGAGAUUCUCUCUCUCUCUCUCUCGCUAUAUAUAUAUAGGUGUUUACAUAACUAAUAAGGGACUCUCUCUCUCUCUCUCUCUCUAUAUAUAUAUAUAUGUGUUUACAUAACUAAUAAGGGACUCUCUCUCUCUCUCUCUAUAUAUAUAUAGGUGUUUACAUAACUAAUAAGGGACUCUCUCUCUCUCUCUAUAUAUAUAUAGGUGUUUACAUAACUAAUAAGGGACUCUCUCUCUCUCUCUCUCUCUCUAUAUAUAUAUAUAGGUGUUUACAUAACUAAUAAGGGACUCUCUCUCUCUCUCUAUAUAUAUAUAUAUAUAUAGGUGUUUAUAUAACAAGGCUCUCUCUCUCUAUAGGUGUUUAUAUAACUAAUAAGGUACACACUCUUUCUCUCUCUCUCUCUCUCUAUAUAUAUAUAGGUGUGUGUGUUUAUAUAAAUAAAAAGGCUCUCUCUCUCUCUCUCUCUCUCUCUCUCUCUCUCUCUCUCUCUCUCUCUCUCUCUCUCUCUCUAUAUAUAUAUAUAUAUAUAUAUAAGGCAGGGCCUGAAGUUGUGGGAGGGGCUUGGUUCCCCUUCUUAAGGAGCUCCAGCCCUUCACCUGCUACCGGCUCAGGUCUUGAGAUUUGCAUAACCGCACUUCCGGUCCGUGCAAAUCUCCUCUGUCACAGGCUGAACCCCGAGGAUACACUUACCUGGUCCUGUUGCUCCGUUUCAGCUUACAAGAUAUUCCCUGUCUCCCCGGCGUCCCCGCAUUUCGGCUUAUCCGCAUAAGCGACCGGCGGCUGGUGCCGUUUUCAGCAAACCGUAAGUCACGGCUGCCGUCGGGUGGCGGUCGCGGUCGAUCCGCGUCAUCUUGGGAUACCACUAUCCAAAUACGGAGCUUAUGUUACGUCACGUUUUUUGAAUAUUUGUCGGGAAUUAUUGCACGUACGCUGGGCAAUUCGUUUUCGAUUCUUGAUAUCGUUUAAUUCAUUUGCUAUUUAUAAGUACUUGUAAGCUGGCUAUAAAUUGUGCUUAUGUGAUACAAUACACUCAUUAUUCAUUCGUUUAACUGCAUUAGUAAUAUCAUUGGGCACUUUAGCUGGGUUACGUCGACCCCUUGUGGUCAUUCUAUAUUAUGACAUAUUGUGCAAAAUUACACAGGUUGUGUUACACAUAUAAUAUCAAGUUUUAAAGCAGCUAUAAUGACUGGCCUUUACACCUGCAUUCAGGCUAUAUUACUUGUGGGUCUGGCAUGAGGCAUUCCGUAUACUACAAACAAUCAAGAUGAGGCUUUUUUUUUGUUUGUUUUUUUGUUAUGUGACACAUAAAAUUCUUAAAACACGUACAGUUUUACAUGUCAUUUCUUCAUGUUUCAACUAGCCACUUGAGGUUGCAUAGCCAGUAUUCUUACGUGUUACUUCUACAUUUAUAGGCUAGGCCAUCAACGCAGCCUUGUGGGGAUUGGGGUAUCAUCCACAUGCUUACUCGGGUCUUAGAAUGCAAGAAUUUGCAAACAGCCAUGGCAGAUCCGGACGCUAUUGACCAACUGAUACAGGAAGAGAUUGACCAAGGAUUUGUCAUUGGACCUUUUGACUCUCCACCAUUUGCGGUAUGGAGAACUAACCUCAUAGGUCUGGUCACUGGUAAAUCCUCAAACAAAAAAAGGUUGAUUCUGGACCUCGCUGCUCCCCAUGCAUCAGCUACACCAAGUCUUAACUCACUUAUUCCGUCUGAAGAGUUUUCGCUGCAAUACGCUACUAUAGAUAAUGCCAUCACGGCCAUCCUCUCAGCAGGAAUAGGCGCUUGGCUUAGUAAGACGGACAUAGUGAAUGCUUUUAAACUACUCCCUAUUCAUCCAUCCCUGUGGCAUUUACAUGGUGUUAAAUGGCAAGGGUUAUAUUAUUUUUUCACGCGUCUCACAUUCGGUUCAAAGAGCAGCCCACGUAUUUUUGAUAUGUUUGCUGAGACGUUGUGUUGGAUAUUGCUUAACACCUGUAGAUGCCCCACCAUUAUUCAUUAUCUGGAUGAUUUUCUUUCCAUAGAAAGCAACCUCUUACCUCCCAGUAGCCUCCAGGCCACGACACAACUUUUUACACAACUUGGAGUCCCGAUUUCACCAACUAAGACGGAAGGUCCCGAUACGGUCAUCAAUUUCCUGGGGGUUGUGCUGGAUUCAGUACACAUGCAGGCUAGCCUCCCCAGGGAAAAGAUUGAACGUAUACUGACCACCAUUGACUUUUACUUAACCGAACAGUCCUGCAGCAAAAAGGAAUUGCAAUCCCUGUUAGGUUCUCUUAAUUUUGCCAUGAAAAUUAUUCCUCAAGGACGGGCUUUUAUAUCCCGACUACUCAGUCUAUUCCCUAGGUUUCAGACCGACUCCUCUCGUAUAAUGUUAGAUGGGCAUGCCACCGCUGACUUACGCAUGUGGAGGGAGUUUUUACGACACUGCAACGGGAAGAGCUUAUUCAUACCAGUGUUAUCAGAUGAGUCUGUUUCUAUUUGGACAGAUGCUGCAGCCACUUCCGGUUUUGCCGCAAUUUUUGGCAAUCAGUGGAUGUGGGGCAACUGGCCAAAGGAAAUUGCAGAGAUACCAGAGUUCAAGGACACAUCUGCGUUAUUUGAACUUUAUCCCAUUGUUGCAGCAGCGGUAAAAUGGGGAGCUAUCUGGUCAGGGAAGUCGGUGCGGUGCUUCUCGGACAACAUGGCAACAUGCCAUAUUGUUAACAAGGGACGUUCCGCUUCCCUGGCCAUCAUGCGGUUUGUUAGAAAUCUCACAUGGCAAGCAGCGAAAUACAGUUUUUUCCUGAAUUGUGUACAUGUUCCUGGGAUUCUCAAUGUUGCCGCUGACCAUUUAUCCCGAUCUCGUUUUCAGGAGUUCCGGGCGGCCCUACCCACAGCGGCCUUAAUACCCACUCCCGUACCACAGUGGCAGGAGAUGAUAUUGGACUAAACCGAUUACUCGCUCACGGAUAUCAUCUCUCACAAUUAGGGCUUUCUGUAAACACUAAAAAGGUUUAUGACAGGGCUUUUCUGUUGUUUAAUAAAUUUGUGAUGGAACACAAAAUUGCUGACAAAUUUGCCAUGAGCACUUGCGUUUAUUUCUUUUUGCCAUCUUCACUUAAAACCAUCAUUUAACACUGUUAAAUUAUACAUCAUGGGUAUUCAACACCACAUCCUCACCACUUGGCCUGAUAAACAACGAUUCCUCUCCUAUUAUCAAGUAAAAUCUGUAUUGAAGGGUAUCAAAGACUCCACCCCAGCACCUACACCUUCCAGAUUACCUAUACAUGACGUUCUAUUUCAGUCACUGUCAAAUCUUUUAGACACUUCACCGUUUGAGACUCGCACAAAUCAGGUCAUAAAAACCGCCAUAUACUUGGCAUUCUAUGGGUUCCUUCAGCCCAAAGAAUUUACCACUACUAAUUAUAACACCCCAAACUUCCUCACAACAGCUAACCUAGUUAAAACACAUGACCACUAUUCACUGUUCCUACACCAUACGAAAACUAGUCACUAUACCCUACUACCCUACUGACAAUAAAUGGUGUCCAGUGGUAGUCUUCGACCAGUACCUCUCAUCCAUCCCAAUGACUCCACAUCAACCUCUACUGGCAUUGUAUGGUAAAACACUGACCAUCAGUAAGUUCAUGCUUUACAUAAGAACAUUGUUAGUACGCUUGGGGCUAAACCCGGCCAAAUAUUCUGGUCAUUCAUUCCGAAUUGGAGCCGCUACUACCGCUUCAAAAAAGAAUAUCCCAGCACACAUCAUUAAGAUUAUGGGCCGCUGGAAGUCCACAGCUUAUACACGAUACAUUCCCCAGCCAGUUCAGGAAGUACGACUAGCAUUCAAGAAUAUGGUGUGAUAAUCGUAUACUGUAUUGUAGGCUGAAUAAACUGUUACAUCUUUUUGCCCUCUUUUAUUUCAGGCCUACUACGUCGUCAGUUACGGCACACCCCAACUGACUUUUCAUGUCCUGUUUUGUUUAAAGUUACUAACUCUACGGCUUUAUGCCUUGACCACAAAUGGAAGGCAGGGCCUGAAGUUGUGGGAGGGGCUUGGUUCCCCUUCUUAAGGAGCUCCAGCCCUUCACCUGCUACCGGCUCAGGUCUUGAGAUUUGUCCCACCCACCUCUCCUCCUUUAAAUCAUUUAAAUCAAUUCUUGAGGUAGGCCCUCUUUUAUUUCAGGCCUACUACGUCGUCAGUUACGGCACACCCCAACUGACUUUUCAUGUCCUGUUUGGUUUAAAGUUACUAACUCCACGGCUUUAUACCUUGACCACAAAUAUAUAUAUAUAUAUAUAUAUAUAUAUAUAUAUAUAUUUUUUAUAACGAAUAAGGGACUCUCUCUCUUUCUCUAUAGGUGUUUAACUAAUAAGGGACCCUCUCUCUCUCUAUAUAUAUAUAUAGGUGUUUAUAUAACUAAUAAGGGACUCUCUCUCUCUCUCUCUCUCUCUCUCUAUAUAUAUAUAUAUAUAUAUAUAUUGUAGCGGAUGGCAUUGGGCUGUCCUCAGAAUUAUGUAUAUUCGUAUGUUUUCGGUUUAAUUUUGCCAUGUGUAUGUCAAGGGUAUGCAGCUUUCACUGAUUGUUCGGUAAAAUCACUCCAGUUAUUAUGCGAGUGAAACUACCGAACAAUCAGACCACCCCAGGAAUAAAUGUGCCUCCAAUUACCGUUCACAACAAAGUUGCAAACGGGUAAUUGGCAAUUCGUGCAGUGUGUACUUUGUCCUCUGGUUGGCCUCCAUUCGGGAGACGAACACGUGGCGGCGGCCAUCUUAAACUCCCGAACAGCGGUGUUUUGCCGUUGAGUGCCUGGAACCCAAAUCGGACACUCAGUUAGGCAAACACCGCUGAGACCUCCACACUGCUGCCAAUUCGUGUAAAAACUACCGAACGGCUUCCUGUUCGGUAGAAGAACCCCACGAACAAUGGGAUUUACCCGAAUCCUCCCCAGCUCUCAUAACCCAAGCCAUUCAUGGGUUUCAUUCCCUUUUCUGUGACCACUGGGCCAAAAUGUAUGGAACCUUUUUCGGCUGUUAACCCCAGCGCGGUCGGUCUUUUUAGUACCUCCAGGAAUUUCCCGAACCUAUGGUCCGAUCCUUGUGAUUUUUGGAUAUGUGUCUCACCCAGAUCAGGGCUACCAGGGGAUGUAAUAUUUAAAGGGGUACUCCUAGGUUUAGGGGUACAUCCAGAAAACAAGGGGGACUGUGUCCUGCAUAAUGGGAUUAUGUGUCAUCCUAAGGGGAGGGGAUGUGUGGGUGGCAACUCAUGUAUGAUUGGUGUAUUGUGCAAUUACUGUCAAUCCCUCCCUUGCAUGGGAGAAUGCUUUAAAAGAAGGUUGUGUGAUUAAAAGUUCAGUUCUGCUCCUGAUGCUGUGUGUCGUCCAGUCAUUGGGAUUGAUGUUGGGAUAUUAUUGGAUUGUCUUGCCUGCUGGAAUUAUUGCCUUAUGGAGCAGUAUUACCGUCAAUUCGUGUAAGAACUACCGAACGGCUCCCCGUUCGGUAGAAAGAACCCUGCAAACAAGGGGGUUUACCCAAAUCCUCCCCAGUCUCCAUAACCCAAGCCAUUGGCCCUUUUAUGUGACCGACCGCAGGGCCAAAAUGUAUGGAACUCCUUUCGGCUGUUAACUCUGUCUUUUUAUUACCUCCAGGAAUUUCCCGAACCUCUGGUCUGAUCUGGGUGAUUUUUGGAUAUGUGUCUCACCCAGAUCAUAUGUUUAGGGGUACAUCCAGAAAACCAGGGGAACUGUGUCCUGCAUAAUGGGAUUAUGAGUCAUACUAAGGGGAGGGGAUGUGUGGGUGGCAACUCGUGUAUGAUUGGUGUAUUGUGUAAUUAUUGUAAAUCCCUCCCUUGCAUGGGAGAAAGCUUUAAAAUAAGGUUGUGUGAUUAAAAGUUCAGUUCUGCUCCUGAUGCUGUGUGUCGUCCAGUUAUUGGGAUCUGUAUGGGGAUAUCCGUGGAUUACCUUGCUUGCUGUGAUUAUUAUUCUAUGGUAUUUUAUUACUUGUUUCUGAGCCUCACUGGGAUCUUUAGUGGAGUUAACCUGUGAAAGAGCAGCUCUUCGAUAUAUAUAUAUAUAGGUGUUUAUUUAACUAAUAAGGGAUUCUCUCUCUCUCUAUAGGUGUUUAACUAAUAAGGGCCUUGUAACGACCCCCUACCAUGUUGCCUGGGAACCUCUACCUUCUGUUUGUUUUUGCCAUCAUCCACAUUGUCUGUACCUAAAGAACAAAGACUAUGUCUGGCCCUUUAACUGUUUUGUACAAAGGAUUGAUACGUUUGAUAUGGCCCUUCGGAUACAGCCGAAGUGGCCGCCAUUAGACAAUCGAACAAGUGGCGGCGGCCAUUUUAAUCCAGUCGAACGCGGUCAGCGGUGUGUGCCAUCAAAUCCCUGGAACGUAAAUUGGCCACACAUUGGAACGAACACCGCUGACCUGUACAUUCCCCUACCCUUCGACACUGCGGCUGGAGAGUAAGUCCCAUUCGAAGAUUUGAACACACGUUCGAAUGGGACUUUGUCAUUCUGGUGUAAAAUAGACCUCCAUUAGACAAUUGAACACUGCUGAAACGUAACCCCGGUUUCACUUUGACACUUCGCCUUCGGAUGGGACUUUGUUAUUUUUCAGGGCAGAAAUAGACUGACCGCACAGCCUGGAUCUAUGGAACUAUUUUGGGCAUGCAAACAGGCGUUCAGUUGGUCCAAAGAGACUUUUUAAUAUUUCUGGAACCACUGAACGGAUUGAUACGAAUUUUGAAUAUGUUUUUCCCCAAGUUGUGUUGUUCAUAAAAAUAUAAGUUUUAUUCCUGUGUGAUUAAAAAUCAGAAAGUUAUAAAAAAUGCAUAAAAAGUAUAAGUUUUAGCUUGGGGAUAAUUGAGUAGUGUAACGGCACCCCCAGGCAUAAAAGGGUUAAACCGCCGUUUAGUAGAUCUUCCCUUCCAGAGACACAGGCACAGCUACUGCAGAACACCAAUCCACCGAACAGGAAACUAUACGAAUGCUGUAAACAGCCGAAUAGGAAAAACCAUACGUAUAGGUUUACACUCCUAGCAGUCGAACUCGAACAGCAUACGGUAAAUCCCCCCAAGAACGAGACAAAGCUCCGUGUUGAGGGUCAAGCAGUGAACAGUCAGAGCUGUGGGUUUAUUGUGCUUAUGUACACAUUCUUACACAUUAGUACCACCCACAGGGUUUUGGAACACAACCAAUAAACACAUACAAUACACUCAGACACUCCCACACAAAUUCCUCCCCUCUGCAUGUGAUUCAAUUACCUUACACAAUGGGUAAUGUAAUUUAGCACAAGCAGAGAAAUACAAUUUUUCCACAUUAUUCAUAACUUGAAAAGUAUGCAUCACAUUCACAUAAAACAUUACAUUUUCAGAAUCAGCAUACUCCAAAUACAAACAUACGUCAAAAUCAUACAAAUUGGUCCAGUGGUUCAAAAGAUAGAUCGUAGUCCUUUGUGACCACAGGAAGCAUGGCUUUUCUGUCCAAAACCAGUUCCACAGAGUCUUCUAUCCUGGAGAUAAUUGUGAAGUAAUCCAAUUAUCUCCAAAGACCGAGGCAAAACUCCAUUGAACACAUGGCAGCAAAAAGACAGUAAAAUACAAUAAAAUACACAAGGUUACAUUAAUGACAUAAAAUACAGACAUGCAACAUAUCCCCAGAUAGCUCAGAUCUGAGCGCACAUUAUUACUGAAUGGUGCUCAGACCACAAACACAUACAGUUCAAUUGCCAUGGAGCCAAAGUCUUUCCCAUAGUCUUUCAUUAUACAAAUGGGCUCCAUGGCAUAGCUAUCUGGGGUAUCACUGCUCAAACCGGGCAAGCACCAAAUGACCCGGCUUUCAUGUCUUUGCAGGGGAAAAUCAAGCCUUUUAACAUGGGGCCAUAAUCCAAAGGCAACAGGCGAGCAACCAGGCUUCUCCAAUGCAAUGUGGCGAGAUUGGUCUCGUCACAAGUAGAUACAGUAAGAAACUCAAUUAUAUCCCAAGCAGAGGGGAGGGAAUCUGUGGGAUGUAACUGUUGUCUGAUUGGUUAAUGUCUAAUUACCUGUGGGCGUCUCCCUUGCAGGGGAGCACUGCAUAAAAGCAGAGUGUGUGUCAUUAAACCUCAGUUCUACUUUACCCUUCAAAAUGUAGCUUUGUCUCAUUAUUGAAAGGGAACCUGCUCAGCUAAUCACUAGCUCUUUUAAGAGCUCUAUCUUUCUCUCUCUGCCUGGAUCCAGCUGAUAGAAAGAAGGCUACUCCAUUACUGCACAGCAUCUUGCCGGGAAAAAGGACGUCUCCAACGGCUGAUACCCCCUCUCCACUGGGGUAGCUGUUACAGGACUCUCUCUAUCUAUCUAUCUAUCUAUCUAUCUAUCUAUCUAUCUAUCUAUCUAUAUAUAUAUACGGAGAGAGGUGUUUAUAUAACUAAUAAGGCUCUCUCUCUCUCUCUCUAUAGGUGUUUAUAUAACUAAUAAGGGACCCUCUCUCUCUAUAGGUGUUUAUAUAACUAAUAAGGCUCUCUCUCUCUCUAUAGGUGUUUAUUUAACUAAUAAGUCUCUCUCUCUCUCUAUAGGUGUUUAUUUUACUAAUAAGUCUCUCUCUCUCUCUAUAGGUGUUUAUAUAACUAAUAAGGGACCCUCUCUCUCUAUAGGUGUUUAUAUAACUAAUAAGGCUCUCUCUCUCUCUCUCUCUCUCUCUCUCUCUAUAGGUGUUUAUUUAACUAAUAAGGCUCUCUCUCUCCUAAUAGGUGUUUAUAUAACUAAUAAGGCUCUCUCUCUCUCUCUCCUCCUCUAUAGGUGUUUAUAUAACUAUAAGAGACCCUCUCUCUCUAUAGGUGUUUAUUUAACUAAAUAAGGCUCUCUCUCUCUAUAUGUGUUUAUUUAACUAAUAAGUCUCUCUCUCUCUCUCUCUCUCUCUCUCUAUAGGUGUUUAUAUAACUAAUAAGGGACCCUCUCUCUCUAUAUGUGUUUAUUUAACUAAUAAGGCUCUCUCUCUCUCUCUCUCUCUCUAUAGGUGUUUAUAUAACUAAUAAGGGACCCUCUCUCUCUAUAGGUGUUUAUAUAACUAAUAAGGCUCUCUCUCUCUCUAUAGGUGUUUAUAUAACUAAUAAGGGACCCUCUCUCUCUAUAGGUGUUUAUAUAACUAAUAAGGCUCUCUCUCUCUCUCUCUCUCUCUCUCUCUAUAGGUGUUUAUAUAACUAAUAAGGGACCCUCUCUCUCUAUAGGUGUUUAUAUAACUAAUAAGGCUUGCUCUCUCUCUAUAGGUGUUUAUUUAACUAAUAAGUCUCUCUCUCUCUCUAUAGGUGUUUAUAUAACUAAUAAGGGACCCUCUCUCUCUAUAUGUGUUUAUUUAACUAAUAAGGCUCUCUCUCUCUCUCUCUCUCUCUCUCUCUCUCUCUCUCUCUCUCUAUAGGUGUUUAUAUAACUAAUAAGGGACCCUCUCUCUCUAUAGGUGUUUAUAUAACUAAUAAGGCUCGCUCUCUCUCUAUAGGUGUUUAUUUAACUAAUAAGUCUCUCUCUCUCUCUAUAGGUGUUUAUAUAACUAAUAAGGGACCCUCUCUCUCUAUAGGUGUUUAUAUAACUAAUAAGGCUCGCUCUCUCUCUAUAGGUGUUUAUAUAACUAAUAAGUCUCUCUCUCUCUAUAGGUGUUUAUAUAACUAAUAAGGGACCCUCUCUCUCUAUAGGUGUUUAUAUAACUAAUAAGGCUCUCUCUCUCUCUAUAGGUGUUUAUAUAACUAAUAAGGGACCCUCUCUCUCUAUAGGUGUUUAUUUAACUAAUAAGGCUCUCUCUCUAUAUGUGUUUAUUUAACUAAUAAGGCUCUCUCUCUCUCUCUCUCUCUCUCUCUCUCUAGGUGUUUAUAUAACUAAUAAGUCUCUCUCUCUCUCUAUAUGUGUUUAUAUAACUAAUAAGGGACCCUCUCUCUCUAUAGGUGUUUAUAUAACUAAUAAGGCUCUCUCUCUCUCUAUAGGUGUUUAUAUAACUAAUAAGGGACCCUCUCUCUCUAUAGGUGUUUAUUUAACUAAUAAGGCUCUCUCUCUAUAUGUGUUUAUUUAACUAAUAAGGCUCUCUCUCUCUCUCUCUCUCUAUAGGUGUUUAUAUAACUAAUAAGGGACCCUCUCUCUCUAUAGGUGUUUAUAUAACUAAUAAGGCUCUCUCUCUCUCUCUAUAGGUGUUUAUUUAACUAAUAAGUCCCUCUCUCUCUAUAGGUGUUUAUAUAACUAAUAAGGCUCUCUCUCUCUAUAGGUGUUUAUAUAACUACAAGGCUCUCUCUCUCUCUCUCUCUCUCUCUCUAUAGGUGUUUAUAUAACUAAUAAGGGACCCUCUCUCUCUAUAGGUGUUUAUAUAACUAAUAAGGCUCUCUCUCUCUCUCUCUCUCUCUCUCUCUCUAGGUGUUUAUAUAACUAAUAAGGGACCCUCUCUCUCUAUAGGUGUUUAUAUAACUAAUAAGGCUCUCUCUCUCUCUCUAUAGGUGUUUAUUUAACUAAUAAGUCUCUCUCUCUCUCUAUAGGUGUUUAUAUAACUAAUAAGGGACCCUCUCUCUCUAUAUGUGUUUAUUUAACUAAUAAGGCUCUCUCUCUCUCUCUCUCUCUCUAUAGGUGUUUAUAUAACUAAUAAGGGACCCUCUCUCUCUAUAGGUGUUUAUAUAACUAAUAAGGCUCUCUCUCUCUCUAUAGGUGUUUAUUUAACUAAUAAGUCUCUCUCUGUCUCUAUAGGUGUUUAUAUAACUAAUAAGGGACCCUCUCUCUCUAUAGGUGUUUAUAUAACUAAUAAGGCUCGCUCUCUCUCUAUAGGUGUUUAUAUAACUAAUAAGUCUCUCUCUCUCUAUAGGUGUUUAUAUAACUAAUAAGGGACCCUCUCUCUCUCUAUAUAUAUAUAGUUGUUUAUAUAACUAAUAAGGGACUCUCAAACCGUAAGUUGACCCACCUGUCGCGCCAGGAUUAGUUCCCACAGCGUUCAGCACAGCAUGGGUCCUCACUUUAUGGUUUCAUUUUGUUACCUUAUACUCACCUAGCUGCUCAUGUAAAAUCUGUUGGUUAAAAUCUGUUUUGGUUAAAAUCUGUUCGGUUAAAACUACAAACGAAAUACAAUUUUUCGCCUACACACUGACCCCUACUGGUCAUUCGGUGUACUACAGGCUGCUUAGACAUUAUCGCAUUUCAUGUACAAACCAACGAACCACUGCAUUUUCACCUAGACACUGACCCCUACCGGUCAUUCGGUGUACUACAGGCUUCUCAGAUAUUAUUGUAUUUCAUGUACAAACCAACGAACCACUGCAUUUUCACCUACACACUGACCCCUACUGGUCAUUCGGUGUACUACAGGCAUCUCAGACAUUAUUGCAUUUCAUGUACAAACCAACGAACCACUGCAUUUUCACCUACACACUGACCCCUACCGGUCAUUCGGUGUACUACAGGCUUCUCAGAUAUUAUUGCAUUUCAUGUACAAACCAACGAACCACUGCAUUUUCACCUACACACUGACCCCUACUGGUCAUUCGGUGUACUACAGGCAUCUCAGACAUUAUUGCAUUUCAUGUACAAACCAAUGAACCACUGCAUUUGCGCCUACACACCGACCCCUAUCGGUCAUUCUGUGUACUACAGGCUUCUUAGACGUUUUUGCAUUUCAUGUACAAACCAAUAAACCACUGCAUUUUCACCUACACACUGACCCCUACCGGUCAUUCAGUGUACUACAGGCUUCUCAGACAUUAUUGCAUUUCAUGUACAAACCAACAAACCACUGCAUUUGCGCCUACACACUGACCCCUACCGGUCAUUCGGUGUACUACAGGCUUCUUAGACGUUUUUGCAUUUCAUGUACAAACCAAUAAACCACUGCAUUUUCACCUACACACUGACCCCUACCGGUCAUUCAGUGUACUACAGGCUUCUCAGACAUUAUUGCAUUUCAUGUACAAACCAACGAACCACUGCAUUUGCGCCUACACACUGACCCCUACCGGUCAUUCAGUGUACUACAGGCAUCUCAGACUUUAUUUCACUUCAUAAGCAAACAAACUAACUACAGCAUUUUUGCUUUUAUACUGACUCCUAUCUGUCAAACGGUAUACUACAGGCUUUUCAGACAUAUGGUUAUUCCCCUCAUAACAUUCCCAUUAUAAUUACACAAUAACACUUCCUUACAAAUCAUGCUUGCUAUGAUAUAAUCAUUCCUGCAUACCUGCCUACAUAGGCAUUUAGUUACAUUUACUGACAAUACGCAUGCAUUUACCCAAGAAUGCACAUACUAUUUAAAGCACUAUGCAGGAUUCCAGAGCCUAAUACGGAAUGUUUGCACGCUUAAAAUAUAAGUCCUUCCAAUUAUGUAUUUUCAAAUAUUUGGUUAUUCAGCUGCCAGUCAUGGUUCACUACACUCAUGUUUCGGGGUACAGUUGUAUUCCAUAUCACACAUGAUAUAACACUCCCGACAAGUUAAUUUCCUUCAAACCGGGGCAUUACAAGCAUACAAUAAACAUUGGGACAGAGCACUUUGCUCUAUUAAACUUGCAUAACACACAUAUGGGUAUACGCCUUUAAAUGUCUAUAUUCAAUUUUCAUACAUUGUUUUACCCGUCCGGGAUACAGGUAUUAAUAACCCUUACGACCAGUAAGGGUAUCUAAUCAUACUACCAGGUACAUACACCUGCUCAUGUGGUAUAUACAUACAUUUUCUGUUUCUCCCUGGGUAUAUCCCUAGCGUACUGGCAAUUAGGGACUAUAGGUUUCCAAUAGGUAUUUUCCUUUCUAUACGCCUGUCGUAUAGUGGUCCCGCGAGGCCAACACCCCACCUCAAUGCUCGGAGGCAAACACCCAUGGGGCCACUCAUGAGCUAGCCGCCUCGCGUGGUAUAUAGAGAGGGCCUCACCUGUCACUCCCUUCCCCAUUUUUAUGGUUACAGUCACCGAGAGGCCAACUACGUUUGGUGGCCACAAAAUCCCCUCGCGCCAUUGCAUAGAUAGAGCCUCUCAAGCCACUUGGCAACUAGCAGGGCCUCACCUGUCACCAAACAAAGGAUUAAUUGUUUUGCCAUGCGGCUUUAGCUAGCAAGCCACUACUAGCACACUGUGGGUUCAUAUAAUAAUGGCUAUCUUCAUGUUUUUAGUAUGUAUCAAGCAGGUGGUAAGGAUUUCUCUCUACCUAAGACUCCAGCUAGAGUCAACACACUUUCACUUGGAGAUGUUGCUAGUCCCACAGGACAAUUUUGUCCCAACACAGCGGACGAUCACGUUUCAGGCUCCAGGCUCUAGCACCUCUGGUAGUACGCAGAGAACUACCAGAGACAAAUUGGGUCGUCUCAUUCUCUUUGGCAAAUCCCAGAUUUGCAACAAUUUGGCACAUGUAGUUUCAGUGCAUGCAGACUGUUGCAGAUAUGUUCUCAAUAUGUCAGGGCACAUGCAAAAACCAUGUGUCCCAAUAAAUGUACCCUGAACCUUACUUCACGUCUGUAAACAUUAUGCAUUUCCAGUACUUUCUAAUGCAUCACCCUUCCAGACAUUUAGUUGAUUUCCUAAUCUCAGAAUUUUAAAGGCCUUCCGUACAGGUAUUGCCAUAUACUUUGGGGGAAUCUAGAAUGCCCUAACUUGCAGUCAUCACAGCAGCAUCCAACAUCUGGCAUUACACUCAUGGCCCAAGAAAUGGCAGAAAGAUUUCUACCUGGGCCUCUCCGAUCUACACCAUUUACAGCGUGGCGCAAUCCCAUUGGGAUUGUCACAGGGAAUCUUCCCUCACACUAUAACUGAUCAUAGACUUAUCUGCACCUCACGCCUUGGCUACCCCAUGGUCUCAACUCCUUCAUACCCUCCGAGGAGUUUUCAUUACAGUAUGCCACCAUUGUUCAUACCAUUACAACUAUCACUCAAGCAGGGGGGGAAGCCUGGUUAAGUAAAACUGAUAUCACAAACGCAUUUCAGACUGCCACCAUCCACCCUGCACUGGCACUUACAUUUGCAUUUAUGGGCAGCAGUUAUAUAUUUCUUCUCCCGCUUAACUUUCGGGUCAAGAGCAGCCCACAAUCUUCAAUAUAUUCAUUGAACUCGUUACUGGUUGUGGUUAAACAUAUCCAGAUGCCCCACAGUCAUACACUCCCGAGAUGAUUUCUUGUUGGUCAAAGGGAAUGCCUUUCCCUCUAGAAGCUUCAAGGAACACUUGGGUGUCUGAACACUUGGGUGUCCCAGUAUUCCCUAAGGUCACAGAAGACCCAGACACUAUCGUUACAUUCCUGGGCAUACAACUUGACUCUGCAUCCAUGCCAACAAGUUACCACGUGAGAAAUAGGAACAGUCGCAAUAACACCAAUUACCACCUCCUGCUUGGUACUUGCAAACACAUGGAACUACAAUCCCUACCAGGUUCCUUAAAUUUUGCCAAUGCACAUCAUGCCGCAGGCCCGCUUUCAUCUCAGACCCCUUUGCUUUUUCCUCCCUCCUGAAUGAUGAUCAGGGGCUGUCCCUAGACAACCAAGCCAUGGCAGACCUACACAUAUGAUGGACUUUCUUAACCACAUGUAAUGGUAAACUAUUGUGGCAGCUGCUGUGACAGCCGCCAUGGCAGGGGGGUCAUUUAUGGUCAAGGUCAUGGAUUACAUGAACCUCGCCAACAUAGCCGGGCUCUGACUAAACUGGCCUUGUCCACCAGCACUCAACACGCUUGCUACAGGGUUUUCCACUUAUACAAUACGUUUCAUGUUCGACUAUCACUUAGAUAGCCGGUUUGAGGUUUCACCAUGUAUGGCCUUCGCCUCUUUUUGCCACCUUAAGUUAAUAAUUCUCGCACAACAUGGUUAAACUUUAUCUCACGGGCAUUCAACACUAUACGUAUUUCUCCUUCCCAAACAAGGGUUCCUAUCCUCCUACCCCAUCCAUACCUUACUUAGAGGCAUAGCCAAGCGGACGUUCCCGCUAAAACUAAAUACUGGCCAUAGACAUACAAUGUUCAAACCAUGUCAGAACCACUCGACCAUGCACUUCCGAGCCACGCACCAAUGCAGUUAUCAAAACUGCUACCUAUCUAGCCUUUAACGGCUUUCUCAGGCCAAAACAAUAACUCACUAUCAGCGGCCAACAUCAUAAACAAGAGUGCCUGUUGACCUCUUAUCUUCUAAAACACACAGACCACUAUGUCCGGUCCCUUCCUAAAACUAAUACGAGUCAGAUGGGCGAGCCAGUGCAUAUAACCUACUACCUUACAAGCAAUGCUGGGUGCCCGGUUAAGGUACUGAUUACGUUCUUGGGCACGCCACUAUACGCACCACUGAACCAUUACUGUCGCUGUACGAUACUGUCCUUACCACAGGUAAGUUCAUGCACUAUGUCCACCUACUCAUUCACCGGGCUCGAACUAAACCCUAGCGACUACUCAGGGCACUCCUUUAGGAUAGGAGCAGCUUAUACAGCCUAUAGCCAAGACAUCCCCACACACGUUAAGACACGGGGCCGCUGAGAAUCAUAGGCUUAUGCGACUUACAUACCACAGCCAAUUUGGGAAUUAGUAAGCUUUCAUUAAAAUGUCUAACUGAUGGUUAAUAAAUGCAUUAUGAUCCUGUAUAAUGUUUUGCAUUAAUAUGUCAUGAGUUUUUUGACUAAAUAUACUAUAUACCUGCUGAGUCCAAUGACUUGAGGGUAGACGUACAGGACACAAUUGCCAGGAAUAUAGGGUGAGACAUGUGGAGUGCAGAAGUGUCUGUACUGACCCAAGACCAGGAAGGACAUGACUAUACUGAUGAAUGAUUUUUCCAGUCUUGUGUCUCUGGUCUCAAUGACCACUGAGAUAUCGCCCUAGGUGUAUGAGCGGUAUUCUGUAAUAUCGUGGGAGGCAAUGAAAAGCGAGACAAGAUUAACGUCCUUGCCUUCCAGUAUGUCCUUUAGGUUUCCCGGUACCAUCUGGAUUGGGGGAAUCUCCUUCUUCUAGAACUUGGGACAUACUGAAAUAUAUGUAGGAAUCAUGAGUUCUAUAGGCCAGUAAGCCUUACUUCAGUAGUGGGGAAAGUGAUGGAAACCAUGUUAAAGGAUAGGAUUGAUGAACAUCUAAAAACACAUGGAUUUCAAGAUCAGAGACAACAUGGGUUUACUUCAGGGAGAUCAUGCCAAACUAAUCUUAUUGAUUUUUUUGAUUGGGUAACUAAAAUUAUAGAUCAGGGUGGUACAGUAGACAUUGCUUACCUAGAUUUCAGUAAGGCUUUUGACACUGUUGCACAUAGAAGGCUUAUCAAUAAACUGCAAUCUUUAAGUUUGGAUUCAAAUAUUGUUGAAUGGGUAAGGCAGUGGCUGAGUGACAGGCAACAGAGGGUUGUAGUUAAUGGAAUAUAUUCGAAGCUUGGACUUGUCACCAGUGGUGUACCUCAGGGAUCUGUACUUGGACCCAUUCUCUUUAAUAUUUUUAUUAGUGAUAUUGCAGAAGGUCUUGAUGGUAAGGUAUGUCUUUUUGCUGAUGAUACUAAGAUAUGUAACAGGGUUGAUGUUCCAGGAGGGAUAAGCCAAAUGACAAAUGAUUUAGGUAAACUAGAAAAAUGGUCAGAAUUGUGGCAACUGACAUUUAAUGUGGAUAAGUGCAAGAUAAUGCAUCUUGGACGUAAAAACCCAAGGGCAGAGUACAGAAUAUUUGAUAGAGUCCUAACCUCAACAUAUGAGGAAAGGGAUUUAGGGGUGAUUAUUUCUGAUGACUUAAAGGUAGGCAGACAAUGUAAUAGAGCAGCAGGAAAUGCUAGCAGAAUACUUGGUUGUAUAGGGAGAGGUAUUAGCAGUAGAAAGAGGGAAGUGCUCAUGCCAUUGUACAGAACACUGGUGAGACGUCACUUGGAGUAUUGUACACAGUACUGGAGACCGUAUCUUCAGAAGGAUAUUGAUACCUUAGAAAGGGUUCAGAGAAGGGCUACUAAACUGGUUCAUGGAUUGCGGGAUAAAACUUACCAGGAAAGGUUAAAGGAUCUUAACAUGUAUAGCUUGGAGGAAAGACGAGACAGGGGGGAUAUGAUAGAAACAUUUAAAUAUAUAAAGGGAAUCAACACAGUAAAGGAGGAGACUAUAUUUAAAAGAAGAAAAACUACCACAACAAGAGAACAUAGUCUUAAAUUAGAGGGACAAAGGUUUAAUCGGGUCUCAGAUGAACUCCUGUUCCAAAAAUAUCUGAGCCCUGAACACAUGGAGUACAUUCAUUAUAUAGUAAUAUAACUCCUCCCAUAAUUAGCUACGCCCAAACAUACCCUUAAACUCGUCCAUCCGGUCUAACCAUGUGGCUCAUCUGAAACAAAGGAGAAGGGAGCGUAAUUCCAGUUCCUGCAUUCCUGCACAUGCUCAGUACAUUGAUGACAGUAUCUUAGCUACAUGUAACUAACUAACUGAUACUACAAACACAUGUACCUACAUAUGCCACGUGGCAAUCUUGGCCUACUAAACUUUUAUUUUACUGGAAUUCCAUCACAUUCCCCCAUUUGAUGCUUCUGAUUUAAAAUAAUUCCAGAUGCAUCACCAAUCAUAGUUUGCCAACACCUCUUGUUACGGUACCCUCAGCAUCAGAUGCACAAACCGCCAUUUAGUAAAUCCUCCCCUCUCGCAGUAACAUAGGCUGUAUGCGUAUCAAGUACAAUCAUACAAACCGCAAGCAGGGGAACGCUGUAAACUCACGAACGGGAUCCGCGGGGGCACUUCACUUCACGAGCUCCAAACUCACGAAUCGCCAAUAGUAGCCGAACACAUAUAUCUCCCAAGUGACUAAUAAUCCCAUCCAGCAGUCUCUAGUCGUCGGUAAUAAUUCCCCCCAAUAACGAGACCAAGCUCCGCAUUAAGGGUAAAACAUGAACUGGCUUUACUGUGGACUACCUGCCCGUAUUUAUGCAGGUCUCCCACUUGGUGGACACUCCCCUAGGGGACCAAAUGGGAGACUGUAACAAUAGACAGACAUAUGGCAGGUUAGGACCCACAGACACAGAAUAUUCCCAGCAUGCAUUAGUAUGUCCUCCCCUCUGCCCUGGAGAUAAUUGAGAAGUAAUUAAAUCAUCUCCAGGACAGAGGCAAAUCGCCAUUUUAAAUUAAACACAUAAAAACACAUAAAAAUACAUAACUUUACAUUUGUCGAAUGUUACCCAUUCGUAUCACGUAUCCCCAGAUAGCCUGGAUCUGAGUGCAUAUUAUUGGCGAAUAGCGCUCAGAUCCCAUACGCAUAGUUCAAUCGCCAUGGAGUCAAAGUCUAUUACAGUCUUUCGGUAUGCGAUUGACUCCAUGGGAAGGCUAUCUGGGGUAAGUCCAUUCGUGCGUAUAAAACUCUCGAACGGCCAGUGUUCGUAUACUUCCGUCGACCGAGAAGGGAGGUCGGCGGCUUCAGUGGUGUUCGGCAGAAAAAGUGUCAGUUUUUUGUUCCAUGAAAUCCAUGCUGAACACUGCUGGUCUUUCGCAUGGUUUAAAAUGGCUGCCGCCUCGUGGUCGACAUACGAACGACGACCACCCUGUAUUCGGUUUUAAUUGAGAAGUGUCUGCGGUUAACCACAAAGUUCUAAUUGGGAUCAAGAGGUUAACCAGCAGCACAUUUUCUUCUGGGUGGCCGUCCGUUCGGUAGUUUUGUUCGGCGGAAAAGUCAAUUCACUGAACAGGGGCAUACGAACGGGUAAUUCCACGAAAAGGCAAAAUAGACGAACCAGCAAUCCCAGUAUAUACAGAUGGAUCUGUCACACCUCUCAAGUAGCCAUGAACCAGAACAGACCUCGUAAGCAUCCUUAGCAUAUUCUUUUAGCAUUCCCCAUCCUGAAUAUGCUCUCUCUGGGCUAAAGGUUCAUAUUUACAGACAGCCAUUACAUGGGCAGCUGUCUUCCUCUCAAUAAUGCUGUGUAUAACACUUUGUAUGGACCUGACCACUAAUGGAAUUAAGCAGGGCAGAAAGAGACAUAGGAAUAUAAUAAAUACUACUCCUUCUACUAAUGCCUUAAUCCCUCCAAGCUGCUCAUACCAACUUCCAAACCAACUACUUGGGUUAUACCCACUCCAGACCUGAGUAGGUACAUGUGCAAGUUUAACCAUGUGACUGGUAAGUUCAGCCACUGCCUGCCCUUCCUCAUCUAUGUGCAGACAACAGUUACUUAGAUUAAACUUCCCGCAUACACCUCCCUGUACUGCUAAUAAGUAGUCCAGAGCUAAUCUAUUUUGAUAGAUGGCUGAUCUCAUUCGAGUAUUAUGUUUAGCAAGGAGAUUGAGCGCUUGUGCUGUCUCAUUGGUGAUAAUCUCAACCACCGCCUGUAGUCUUAUAAUACGAUUAAGCAUAUAUAUUGGGGUUCUAUAUCCAUAAGUACCAUUGUAGCGGAUGGCCAUGAGCUGCCCUGGAUCUUGUAUUAUGUUUAACCUGUAUUCGUCUAUUUGCUAAAUGUAUAGGCAGUAAGGGAAUGCAUUCGUGUAACAUAGCAAAUUUCUAUGUGCUAAAUAUAUUGUAUUCGUCUGAAUGUUAGGUAGUUUCAUUCCCUUAGUUUGUUCGAAUGAAACUACCGAACAGUCAGACCUCCCCUGUGUGAAGUGUGCCUUCAAUUACCCGUUGCAACAUUGUUGCGAACGGGUAAUUGACAAGCUGUGUAGCAAUCCUUUGUUCUCGGGGGUGGCCACCAUUCGGGAAAAGAACACGUGGCGGCGGCCAUCUUAAACUCCCAAACAGUGGUGUUUUGCCGUCGAGUGUCUGGAACUCAAAACGGACACUCGACUAGGCGAACACCGCUGAGACCUCCAUUAGCCCGGUCCGUUCGGUUCCAAACUACCGAACGGCCCCUCGUUCGAUAAGCAUAAUCAACCGAACGAGGGGAUUCAGGCGAACCCUUCCCAGCCUCUAUAGCUGGAGGCUUUCAGGUACUUCAUUCGCCUUUUCCAGGACCGACCGCAGGGCCCAAUCUCAUGGAGCUCAAUUCGGCUAGUUCAUCCAGUGCGGUCGGUCAUUUUAUUCCCUCCAUGAAAUUCCCGAACCCCUGGUCUGAUCUGGGUGAUUUUUGGAUAUGUUGUUCACCCAGAUCAGGGCUACCAGGGAAUGCAUAAUUUAAAGUGGUACCCCUAGGUUUAGGGGUACAUCCAGAAAUGGCGGGAAUUGCUGUACUGGAUAAGGGGAUUAUGAUGCCGGCUGAGGGGAGGAGAUGUGUGGGAGGUUACCAGGACAGGAUUGGCUAUUGUGUUAAUGAAUGUAAUCCCUCCCUUGCAUGGGAGCAUGCUUUAAAAGGCCACUGUGGAAUAAAGCUUUCAGUUCUGCUCCUGAUGCUGUGUGUCGUCCAGUCAUUGGGAUUGCUGUGGGGAUACUAUUGGAUUAUUUUGCCUGUUGGAAACCUUGCCUGUGGAUUUAUAAUUUACUUGUUCCUGAGCCUCACUGGGAUCUUAAGCGGAGAUAAUCUGUGGAAUAUUGUAUCUCCGCUACAUUGGUUGGCAGCGCUGGGAUCCAGACUCACAGAGGAACAAGCAUAAAUGGAGUACGGAUGGAGAUUGAUUUUGCUACGCUAAAACGCUCCACGUUAAAGGACCUCCUGGAGGCAAGGGGUAUCCAAGCCAGCAACAAGAAGAAAGCGGUACUCAUUACUGAACUCAUGGCAGAGUACCGAAUGGAUGGCGAUUCGGUUCCCGAACAGGGGGAUUCGGGAGAAACACAGGAACAGAUGGAGUUCCAGAGGCAGCUACAAUUUAGGCUGUCUUUUUAUGGGGAACACCCUUCAGCGGAAAUUAUUUCCAAGACCAUGACAGAGGUCCAGGAAUUUAUCUUAAGAAAACAGACAACAGCAACCCCAGAACGCAGCUCUGCAGUAAAUAUGCCACAAGAAGGUAAGCCUAAAAUACCAUACCAGGCUUUUAAAACGUAUGUGGAGGCAGAGGAAGAUAUAGACGCUUUCCUGCAAGAUUUUGAGAGACUGUGUACACUGCAUAGAAUCAGCGCAGAGGACUGGGUACCUAUUUUGGCAAGACGGUUAACUGGGAGGGCAGCAGAGGCAUAUCGUACUGUACCCAAUGAGGAAAUCCGGAAUUACAAUAAAGUAAAAUAAAUUAUACUGGCCCGGUAUGCUAUAACACCAGAAGCAUACUGGCGGAGAUUCCGGGAUUUAAAGAAAGUGUAAAAGGACUCACAUGCAGAGUGGGCAUGCAGGUUACAAAGGGCAGCACUCGGGUGGGUGCAAGCUAGCAAGGCACGGUCCAUGGAGGAUGUAAUACAGAUGAUGCUGAUGGAGCAAUUUUAUGAGGGAGUAACCAAUGAUGUCCAGUAGUGGGUAAGGGACAGAAACCCUACCUCCCUCACCGAAGCUGCCAGGAAGGCAGAUGAGUACCUGGACGCACGCAGGCAGCAAAAACCUGCAGCUCCAAAAGCCGCAUUCAAAACCUUUGGGGGAACCAACUACACCCCAACUCCACCGAGGCAACUACCACCACCACCACCACCGCCCGCUGCACAGCCACGUUUCUGCCAGCCCACUUCUGGGCCCUGUCACAACUGCCAGAAAUGGGGGCAUUAUAAAAGGGAAUGUCCUCAACUACGAGAUCGUACCUCGUGGAUCCGUCCUGGCCCGCCACCACCACCGAGGGCCGCCACCGCACACCGCUACCAGGACAUCAUUGCAACCCCGUAUGGCUCAGCAGUACCUAUUACCACUGUGGAGCAAUGGGAGGUAUUGCACGAGGCCGAUCCGGUACAGGCGAAUGCGGACAACACACAGCACCACAGACAAACAGUGUACCUGGAGGGCAAAGCAGUGCAAGGACUUCGGGACUCUGGGGCCACUAUUACUCUGGUCAAAAGCCAUUUGGUGGUAGCCGUUAGGGUAGCCGGGGGAGCUGUAUACCGGCUACCCACAGCCAGGGUUCACUUGCAUUGGGUAGCAGGGACGGGAGAAGUGGAGGUGGGGUUGAUGCCACAACUGCCCGCGGAAGUUUUGUUGGGCAACGAUUUGGGGAGGCUCACAUCAGCUUUUGAGCCCCAGAUCCCGGUCACAGGAGAGGCUCACCCUGUGGUCACUAGACAACAGGCCCGCACCCAGGCUCCAUCCACACUGCCGGAGGUUCAGGUAAGAGAUCCUUCACCUUCCCUAGACUGUGUCCCCUGGGCCCCUCCUAACGAAUUUGCAGCCGAGGUAGUGACCGACCCCACAUUGCAGGUGUAUAAGGACAAGGUGACAGCAGACGCCCCAGGGGGAGAUGGCGAAAGGUUUAUCUGGGACAAACAGCUGUUGUACAGAUAGCCGGGUCAGACCCGAUCGUGAUGAGACAGUUGGUGGUACCACAGCGGUACCGAACAGAGUUACUCCGGAUAGCACAUGACAUUCUGCUAUCCGGACAAUAAGGGGUCAGCAGGACCCGGCUCAGGUUAACACAAAGCUUCUUUUGGCCUGGAGUUAGCCAGGAAGUGCGCAGGUAUUGCAACACUUGUGAUACAUGCCAAAGGGUGGGGAAGAGGGGGAACCGGCGCAAGGCCAAGCUACACCCCCUCCCUAUAAUUGAGGAACCCUUUAGUAGGGUAGCGGUCAAUUUAAUAGGACCCCUCAACAAAGCGAGCCCGUCAGGCAAAAGAUUUAUCCUGACAGUGGUAGACUAUGCCACUAGGUAUCCAGAGGCAGUGCCCCUGACGAAUAUACAUGCUGAAACGGUAGUGGAAGCCCUCAUGCAAAUAUUCUCCCGGGUGGGACUCCCCAGGGAGAUUGUCUUGGAUCAGGGUACCCAGUUCACCGCCGAAGUCACGCAGCGCCUCUGGAAGUUCUGUGACAUUAAGCCUGUCAUUAGUUCCCCUUACCACCCCCAGACUAAUGGGCUCUGCGAACGUUUCAACGGUACAUUGAAACAGAUGCUCCGAACCUUCGCAGAGACCCACAAGAACUGGGAGAAAUUCCUGCCUCACCUCCUCUUUGCUUAAAGGGAGGUGCCGCAGGAAUCCACAGGGUUUUCCCCAUUCAAAUUAUUGUUUGGCCGCAGGGUACGGGGGCCCUUAGAUUUAAUUCGAGAGCACUGGGAGGGAGAACGGAGCACCGACGAUACUCCCAUCAUACCGUAUGUGUUGGCAUUCCAAGACCGCCUGGAGUCCCUAACCCAGACGGUACGAGAAAAUUUGCAGGCGGCUCAGACCCGCAAGCGCACAUGGUAUGAUUGGGGCGCCAGGGACCGUAGCUUUCAGGUCGGGCAGAAAGUGUUAAUUUUAAAACCUGUCCGACACGAUAAGCUGCAGGCCGCCUGGCAAGGCCCUUAUAAAGUGGUGGAACAAAGGUGUGACACCACUUAUAUAAUAGGCUCUUGCGUUGGUACUGGAGGGCGACGCAUGCUCCAUGUGAACAUGAUGAAGCCCUACCAGGAGCGCUCCGAGGAAGUGACCGCCAUAUGCGCACCUAACUCGGAGGAGUUCGACAGUCUGCCUCUCCCAAAUCUGCUGGGAGAGGGUCAGUUAUCUGGGGACUUAGGGGAAGUUGCGCUGGGAGACCGGCUGAGCCCACAGGAGCGGAGCGAGGUACAGCAACUAUUGAGGGAGAAGCGAGAUAUCUUCUCCAAUGUACCUGGUUACACUCCUCUGGCCACUCACCGAGUAGACACACCAGGUCAACUUCCCAUGCGUCAGACCCCGUACCGCAUCCCAGAAGCGGUACGGGAAAACAUGCGCAAGGAAAUCGAUGAGAUGCUCCAGCUGGGGGUGAUUGAACCCUCUGACAGCCCCUGGGCUUCUCCGGUAGUGCUAGUACCAAAACGGGACGGAACGACCCGUUUUUGUGUAGACUACCGGAGACUGAAUGAGAAGACGGUAUCUGACGCCUAUCCCAUGCCCAGGAUAGACGAACUACUGGACCGGAUGGCUAGAGGACACUAUCUCACCACUAUUGACUUGUGUAAGGGGUAUUGGCAAAUUCCCUUAGCACAUGACGCGAUCCCUAAGUCGACCUUUGUCACCCCAUUCGGCUUGUACCAAUUUAAGGUCAUUUCAGCGGAUGGUGGACCGCCUCCUGGAUGGGUUCCAAGAUUAUACCUGUGCCUGGCAGGAACACUUGGCCCAUAUAGGAGCGGUCCUAGAUGGGAUUAGGGCAGCUGGUUUAACGCUGAAACCAGCCAAAUGCAGCAGUACAAUACCUCGGCCAUCGGGUAGGAUGUGGCAAGCAGAAGCCAGAACCAGCCAAGGUAGAGGCUGUAGCCCAAUGGCCUACCCCUAGGACUAAGACUCAGGUAUUAGCGUUCCUAGGAACGGCCGGGUACUACCGGAAAUUUGUCCCGAACUAUAGUGCCCUGGCCAAACCCCUCACUGACUUAACCCAUAAGAACCUUCCCCGCCAAGUGACCUGGACCCCAGAGUGUGAGCAGGCAUUCCAACUGUUGAAAGAUGCAUUGACCAAUGCCCCUGUCUUGGCAGCUCCCAAUCCAACUAAACGUUUUCUUGUUCACACAGACGCUUCUAUGUUUGGAUUGGGAGCAGUACUGAGCCAAGUCGGGGCCGAUGGCAGAGAACAUCCCGUGGCUUACAUCAGUCGCAAGCUGUUACCCCGAGAAGUAAGUUACAUCGCCAUUGAGAAGGAAUGCCUGGAUGUGGUGUGGGCCCUAAAGAAAUUGCAGCCGUAUUUGUAUGGGCAAGCCUUUUCCCUGCUCACGGAUCACAACCCGUUGGUCUGGCUAAACCGGGUGGCUGGGGACAAUGCCAGGCUGCUGCGCUGGAGUUUGGCGCUGCAGCCCUUUGACUUUAAUAUCCAGUACUGCCCGGGUAAACAGAAUGGAAAUGCUGACGGGUUGUCAAGACAAACCGACCUGGAGAAAUGAUCCGUGAGCCUCCCCGGACAUCCCCAAGCCGAUCCGUGUUGGAUCAGACUGUGUAUGCCGGCUUGUGGGCAAGGGGGAGCAGUGUAGUGGAUGGCCAUGAGCUGCCCUGGGACUUGUAUUAUGUUUAACCUGUAUUCGUCUAUUUGCUAAAUGUAUAGGCAGUAAGGGAAUGCAUUUGUGUAAAAUAGCAAAUUUCUAUGUGCUAAAUGUAUUGUAUUCAUCUGAAUGUUAGGUAGUUUCAUUCCCUUAGUUUGUUCGAAUGAAACUACCGGACAGUCAGACCUCCCCUGUGUGAAGUGUGCCUUCAAUUACCCGUUGCAACAUUGUUGCGAACGGGUAAUUGACAAGCUGUGUAGCAAUCCUUUGUUCUCGGGGGUGGCCGCCAUUCAGGAAACAAACACGUGGCGGCGGCCAUCUUAAACUCCUGAACAGCAGUGUUUUGCCGUUGAGUGUCUGGAACUCAAAACGGACACUCGACUAGGCGAACACCGCUGAGACCUCCAUCAGCCCGGUCCGUUCGGUUCCAAACUACCGAACGGCCCCUCCUUCGGUAGGCAUAAUCAACCGAACGAGGGGAUUCAGGCGAACCCUCCCCAGCCUCUAUAGCUGGAGGCUUUCAGGUACUUCAUUCGCCUUUUCCAGGACCGACCGCAGGGCCCAAUCGCUUGGAGCCCAAUUCGGCUAGUUCAUCCAGUGCGGUCGGUCAUUUUAUUCCCUCCAUGAAAUUCCCGAACCCCUGGUCUGAUCUGGGUGAUUUUUGGAUAUGUUGUUCACCCAGAUCAGGGCUACCAGGGGAUGCAUAAUUUAAAGUGGUACCCCUAGGUUUAGGGGUACAUCCAGAAAUGUGGGGAAUUGCUGUACUGGAUAAGGGGAUUAUGAUGCCGGCUGAAGGGAGGAGAUGUGUGGGAGGUUACCAGGACAGGAUUGGCUAUUGUGUUAAUGAUUGUAAUCCCUCCCUUGCAUGGGAGCAUGCUUUAAAAGGCCAGUGUGGAAUAAAGCUUCAGUUCUGCUCCUGAUACUGUGUGUCGUCCAGUCAUUGGGAUUGCUGUGGGGAUACUAUUGGAUUAUUUUGCCUGUUGGAAACCUUGCCUGUGGAUUUAUAAUUUACUUGUUCCUGAGCCUCACUGGGAUCUUAAGCGGAGAUAAUCUGUGGAAUAUUGUAUCUCCGCUACAACCAUCUUCUGCCCAAGUAGCCGGUCCAUAAUAAUUAAUAAUACGUUGGGGAGGCCACUCAUCAUCUUCCCAGCUACCUAUAUUCAAAGAUGCUCGCUUCUUUUUAUGAUUCACAUCAUAAACCUUAACUCCCAAGGUCUCUCCUGUUUCGAUUGGCAACAAGAAGAAGGAUGGUUUGAGCAUACCUGGUACACAUGCCCCUUCCCAGUCUUGUGGUAACUCUGAAUAUGCCGCCUUACCACAAAUCCAGUAUAGAUUUGCUGGGGCUCUCCAAUUGGAUGUAGCAGAUAAAUCAAGCCAUACCUCUUUCAAAUUAGUGUAAUUGGCAAAUGGAUUAGUAGGUUCCGAGACAUUUGAAGCUGACCACCAAGUAGUAUCUUUUGUAUUAUCAUUAUAAGCCUUUUGUCCCAAACAUGUUAACUCACCUACAGACAUGUUAUACAUUAUAUACAUUAUCCCUUUCCUAGCUAUACAAACAUGACCUAUAAUAGAGGUUUUUAACCGCAAUUCUGAUUUACCUCUAGUAGUUACUUGAUGAUCAGACUGAGAAAGUAUCUGUUCUUCAUCUGUCUCAGAACCAGGGUACCAUGCCUCCUUUGCUUCCCAUGGCCACUGGUCUCCCAUAUUAGUACCUCCACAUACAAAACAGUUAGUUACAUUAAGACUACCCGCAAUACUCUCAGCUAAAUCUACAAAUAGGUUCUUAACAUUAUGGGGAAUUUUAUCCUCAAUAGAAGGAAUGAAAAAUCUGAUGAGUUUGGGUUGCUACUGUCUCCGUUUCAAUGCCUACAUAUAUAAUAGCCCCAGGAUCCAACCCUGUUCCGUAUAUUUGGAAUCCAAAUAGAUUUCCGAACUUGUCUGUGAAGUGUUGCGGAUUAGAAAUGGUCAUAUGAACACUCCAUAGACUUACAAUAUGGUGAAAGAAAGGAAAGAAACUGCGCUCUAGAUAAGUUUUACAUACAUACACUUGGUGUCCCUUAAUCGGUGUGAGUAAUAUAUCCUCAAAAAAAACACAGAAAGGGAAAUACAAUAGUGCAAUAUGCUAUAACAAGUUAAAAACGGAAAUGAUGUGUAAACAGAGGUAUUUCAAACUCACAUUUGGUAGAGCUAAUCAGGAGCUCUACCUUAACUUGCACGGACGGUACAAUCCCCGUCUCAGGAUAGAAGGUUCAACUUUUCAAUACUCCAUUGAUGUAGUGGCAUAGAUAAAAUGGAAACAGAAAAGAGAAACUCCAAUAGUGUAGCAACUCUGAUUCCAAAUGUAGAGAAAGUAAAUGAAGGUUGUUGUACUCACAUUUGUUAGAGCAGACAACUUGCUCUAGUAUAUAAGGCUUGCAGUGGUAUAAUCCCCACUGAAGGAUAUAUGGUACCAGGAAGUGAUGAGGAAGAUAAAUAAAAUAAAGUAGUAUAUCACUUUAAAAUUAUUUAAUAAUAACAAGUAAUAACAAUAUAGAAAACAAAAAGGGCUAUAAGAAAUAACACUUUACGCGUUUCGCCAGUUCGGCUUCAUCAGAAGUGUAAAAUAAAUGUCCUCAAGUUCACAUGAAUGGGGAUGGCUUCCUGGUGUGUCGUGGAACGCACGCGGCAAAAAAACGGAAGCGACGCGGCGUCCACGUGUGCAUAGAUACCCACCGUGGAACGCACGCGUCACACCGGAAGUGACGUGGCGUUACCACAGGUAGUUCAAGUACAUGCGUUCCAACAGUGGAACGCAUAAUGUUCGCGGCAUGUUUCAAUGGCAAUAAAAGUCUUCCAUGGCAAUUGGAGAUAAUGAAAAUCUUCUUUUGGAGUAGAACCAAAUGGCAGGAAGUGCAAAUUCAUGCGUUCCAACAGUGGGGCGCAUAGUAAUCACAAAGUGAUCUUCUGUUCGCAAAAGUCUCAUAGACAUAGUCCAAGAUUAAAUUCAGAUGUUCAUUUCAUAUAUAUCAGCAUGUAAAUCCAAUUACAUUAAAAAGAGGAAAAAAAACAAAAAAAAAAACAACAUAAGGCAGUAUCCAUCUUCAAAUAAAUAUAAAUAAAUAUACAUAUAUAAAUAUAUAGGAAUAAUAUAUUAAAAAUAAGAAAUAACUAGAGUAAAUAUGAAUAAGACUCUUAAAGGUUACUGGAAUUAAAAUAGGAUAUUUAUAAAAGACAGUAAUGCAUAAAAGAUUAUUACAAAAACCCAAAGAUCAAAAGGGAGGACCCAGGGAUGGAAUGUAUUAAAAUUGGAUAAGAAGCAAUUUAUUGAGCCGAAUGAGAAUUAUAAAUUAUUAUAAAAUAUUUUUAUAAAAAAUUAAACAGAUCAAAUUCUACAUUUAGACCAUCCGGGUGUAAAGUAUUCAUAUUGUAAACCCAUUCCAUCUCUGUGCGUCCAAUUUUCUUGAUGUGAUCGCCUCCUCUCCAAUUAGGUUUUACAGUGGUGAUACCAAUAAAAGUGAGAUUACUAGGAUCAUUAUUAUGCAUGCAGAAGUGUGAAGAAACAGAAUGAUUUUUAAAACCUUUUUCUAUGUUUCUACAAUGUUCGGCUAUUCGUAUUUUUAAAGGUCUAAUAGUUCGUCCUAUAUAUUGGAGGCCACAAGGGCACUCCAAUAAAUAAAUUACAUUUUUAUUUCUUUAAUAUUGUAGGUUUUACCAUUAUUAUUUGAUUUAAAGUUACUUCUCAAUUUAGGCAUAGAUUUAGUUUUUCGACAGGCAACACAUGUAUUACAUUUGUAAAAACCUUUUGUUUCAUUUAAAAAACUGGCCCCUGUAUAUUUUAUCCUUGGUUUAGUAUCAUUUUUUGUGAGGUGCUUCUUUAAAUUUGGUGCUCCCCUAAAAACUAUUUUUGGUUUCUCUGGUAUUAAAUUCUUUAAAAUAGCAUCUUCUUUUAGUAAAUUCCAAUGUUUGUUAAUAAUUUUUUUGAGUUCUCUAUUUUUAUUAUUAUAAUCUAAUAUAAUAGAUAGUGAUAUAUUUUGCUCAGGGCUCGAGUCCUGCAGGAACGCGUGGGAACGGCGUUCCUGCACUUUUUUCACAGCAGGAACGCCGUUCCCCCUGCAGGCACUCAGGGGGUGGCAAAAAAUGCUGCCCCCAAAUGCCCUGUGUUCCCCCUGUCAUGGGGGGGGGGGGGCACCUGAUGGAUUGCCCCCCGGCGCACGGCUCUCUCCCUGUCACACGCGGAGAGGGAGCUGUGUGCUCUCUGCUCCCUCUCGCCGCGCGGGAUGUGUGCUGUUGCUGGGAGCCGGGUUGAUGACGUCAUAUUCCGGCUCCCAGCAUCAGCAGACAUCCCACGCGGCGAGAGGGAGCAGAGAGCACACAGCUCCCUCUCCGCGUGUGACAGGGAGAGAGCCGUCCUCACUGCAGCCCCACUGGACCCCAGGGAAAGGUAGGGAUGCUGGGUGGGUGGGAUAUGUUAAUUUGUUAAUAAUAUUAUUAAUUUGUGUGUGUGGAUGUGUGUUUGUGGAUGUGUGUUUGUGGAUGUGUGUUUGUGGAUGUCUGUGUGUGGAUGUCUGUGUGUGGAUGUCUGUGUGUGGAUGUCUGUUUGUGGAUGUCUAUGUGUGGAUGUGUGUUUGUGGAUGUCUGUGUGUGGAUGUCUGUUUGUGGAUUUCUGUGUGUGGAUGUCUGUGUAUGGAUGUCUGUUUGUGGAUGUCUGGGUGUGGAUGUGUGGAUGUCUGUUUGUGGAUGUGUGGAUGUGUGGAUGUCUGUUUGUGGAUGUGUGGAUGUCUGUUUGUGGAUGUGUUGAUGUCUGUUUGUGGAUGUCUGUUUGUGGAUGUGGAUGUCUGGUUUUGUGGGAUGUGUGUGAUGUGUGUUUGUGGAUGUGUGUUUGUGGAUGUGUGUUUGUGGAUGUCUGUGUGUGUGGAUGUCUGUGGAUGUCUGUGUGUGGAUGUCUGUUUGUGGAUUUCUGUGUGUGUGGAUGUCUGUUUGUGGAUGUCUUUGUUUGUGGAUGUCUGUGUGUGGGAUGUCUGUUUGUGGAUGUCUGUGUGUGGAUGUCUUUGUGUGGAUGUCUGUGUGUGGAUGUCUGUUUGUGGAUGUCUGUUUGUGGAUGUGUGGAUGUCGGUUUGUGGAUGUGUGGAUGUCUGUUUGUGGAUGUGUGGAUGUGUGUUUGUGGAUGUCUGUGGAUGUCUGUGUGUGGAUGUCUGUUUGUGGAUGUGUGUUUGUGGAUGUCUAUUUGUGGAUGUCUGUUUGUGGAUGUGUGUUUGUGGAUGUGUGGAUGUGUGUUUGUGGAUGUGUGGAUGUCUGUUUGUGUAUGUGUGGAUGUCUGUUUGUGGAUGUGUGGAUGUGUGUUUGUAGAUGUGUGUUUGUGGAUGUCUGUGUGUGGAUGUCUGUUUGUGGAUGUCUGUUUGUGGAUGUGUGGAUGUCUGUUUUUGGAUGUGUGGAUGUCUGUGUAUGUGUGGAUGUCUGUUUGUGGAUGUCUGUUUGUGUAUUUGUGGAUGUCUGUUUGUGGAUGUGUGGAUGUCUGUUUGUGGAUGUCUGUAUGUCUGUUUGUGGAUGUGUGGAUGUGGAUGUCUAUUUGUGGAUGUGUGGAUGUCUGUUUGUGGAUUUGUGGAUGUCUGUUUGUGGAUGUGUGGAUUUGUGGAUGUCUGUUUGUGGAUUUGUGGAUGUCUGUGUGUCUGUGGAUGUCUGUUUGUGGAAGUCUGUUUGUGGAUGUCUGUUUGUGGAUUUGUGGAUGUCUGUGUGUGGGAUGUCUGUUUGUGGAUGUCUGUUUGUGGAUGUGGAUGUUCGGUGGGAUGUGUGGAUGUCUGUUUGUGCAUGUGUGAUGUCUGUUUGUGGAUGUCUGUUUGUGUAUGUGUGGAUGUCUGUUUGUGUAUGUGUGGAUGUCUGUGGAUGUCUGUUUGUGUAUGUGUGGAUGUCUGUGGAUGUCUGUUUGUGGAUGUGUGGAUGUGUGUUUGUGGAUGUGUGUUUGUGGAUGUCUGUGUGUGGAUGUCUGUGUGUGGAUGUCUGUGUGGAUGUCUGUUUGUGGAUGUCUGUUUGUGGAUGUCUGUUUGUGGAUGUGUGGAUGUCUGUUUGAGGAUGACUGUUUGUGGAUGUGUGGAUGUCUGUUUGUGGAUGUGUGGAUGUCUGUUUGUGGAUGUCUGUUUGUGGCUUUGUGGAUGUCUGUUUGUGGAUGUGUGGAUGUGGAUGUGUGGAUGUCUGUUUGUGGAUGUGUGGAUGUCUGUUUGUGUAUGUGUGGAUGUCUGUUUGUGGAUGUGUGGAUGUCUGUUUGUGGAUGUCUAUUUGUGUAUGUGUGGAUGUCUGUUUGUGUAUUUGUGGAUGUCUGUUUGUGGAUGUGUGGAUGUCUGUUUGUGGAUGUCUAUUUGUGUAUGUGUGGAUGUCUGUGUAUUUGUGGAUGUCUGUUUGUGGAUGUCUGUUUGUGGAUGUCUGUAUGUCUGUUUGUGGAUGUUUGGAUGUGGAUGUCUGUUUGUGGAUUUGUGGAUGUCUGUUUGUGGAUGUCUGUGGAUGUCUGUUUGUGGAUGUGGAUGUGUGGAUGUCUGUUUGUGGAUGUGUGGAUGUCUGUUUGUGUAUGUGUGGAUGUCUGUUUGUGGAUGUCUAUUUGUGUAUGUGUGGAUGCCUGUUUGUGGAUGUGUGGAUGUCUGUUUGUGGAUGUCUAUUUGUGUAUGUGUGGAUGUCUGUUUGUGUAUUUGUGGAUGUCUGUUUGUGGAUGUGUGGAUUUGUGUAUGUGUGGAUGUCUGUUUGUGUAUUUGUGGAUGUCUGUAUGUCUGUUUGUGGAUGUGUGGAUGUGGAUGUCUGUUUGUGGAUGUGUGGAUGUCUGUUUGUGGAUUUGUGGAUGUCUGUUUGUGGCUUUGUGGAUGUCUGUUUGUGGAUGUGUGGAUGUGGAUGUGUGGAUGUCUGUUUGUGGAUGUCUGUUUGUGGAUGUGUGGAUGUGUGGAUGUGUGGAUGUCUGUCUGUGGAUGUCUGUUUGUCUCAGUGUGUGUAGGAGUGUAUUUAUGUCUGUUAGCGUUUGUACGUGUGUAUGUGAGUGUAUGUGCUUCUGUUAGUGUAUGCAUGUGUAUGUUUGCAAUUGCAUGUAUGUGCAUACGUUAUUGUAAGUUUCUGUCAAAUAAGUGUCUCUGUCAUUUAGUGUGUGUGUGACUAUUAGUGUGUGUCUCUCCGUCAAUGAAUGAGUGUGUGUCAGUGAAUGUGUGUGUCAAAUCAGUGACGUCUGUGUGUUUGUCAUUGAAUGUGUGUGUUACUGUCAGUGUGUAUCUGCCAGUGUGGGUGUCUGUCAGAGAGUGUGCUUAAAGGGACACUAUAGGCACCCAGACUACUUCAGCUCCUUGAAGUGGUCUGGGUGCAGUGUCCCAGUCCCCUUAAACCUUCUCAGAAACUGCAAUAAUUACCUGAGGGGUAACUCCAAGUCUAGUGGCUGUCUAUCAGACAGCCACUAGAGGGACUUUCGGGUGGUUAGGUGACCAAAAGUCACCUAACUGAUGCUGGACGUCCUCACCCUGUGCAUGAGGACAUCCAGCAUCUGCUAAAUACCCAUAGGAUUUUAAUCCCUUCAGUGUCGAGUGGGGGAGGGGAGGACAUUUGAGGAGGGGGGCACUAUACGGAAUUAUAGUGCCAGGAAAACAACUUUGUUUUCCUGGCACUAUAGUAUUUCUUUAAAAGGAGCAGGAAAAGGUGGAAUCUAAAGAGGAAGGGGUGGGUUCUUAAUCAGGAAGUGGUGCACAUGAAGGAGUGGUAAAUUUAGAUUAGGGGGGUGCUCUAUAGUCAUGUCUAGGACAGCAUAAAAUUAAAAUACACCACUGUGUGAGUGUGUGUGCACGCGUGUGUAUGUAUGUGUGUGUGUUUGUGGAUGUCUGUUUGUGUAUGUGUGGAUGUCUGUUUGUGGAUGUGUGGAUGUGUGUUUGUAGAUGUGUGUUUGUGGAUGUCUGUGUGUGGAUGUCUGUUUGUGGAUGUCUGUUUGUGGAUGUGUGGAUGUCUGUUUUUUUUUUAUACACACACACACACAUACAUACAAGUGUUUUGGGGAGAGUUCCCACACUUUUUUCCCCAGGACUUGACCCCUGAUUUUGCUUCUGAAUUCUUUUCUUAGAUAGCAAUUCUUUUUGAUUAAUUGACAAUGCCUGGUUAAAAGUAGAUUGGACUGUAUCUUUAUUAUAUCCUUUUUGUAAAAACCUUUCUUUGACUGUUUCAGCUUGUUGCUUAAAAACGGGAGUUUCUGUGCAGUUUCUCCUUAGUCUGAGCAUUUGACUUUUUGGAAUGCUCUCUAGCCAAACUUUAUUAUGACAACUUUUUGUGUCAAUAUAGUUGUUGACAUGAACUUCUUUGAAAUGAGUUUUAGUGUGAAUUUUUUAUCUUUAAUGUAAAUGUUCAAGUCUAAAUAUGUAAUCUGUGUAUCGCUUAUUUCUGAAGUAAGAACUAUCCCCUCCUGAUUGGUAUUUAAGAAGGAGAUAAAUUCCCUAGCUUCAGUGGGAGAUCCUUUCCAUAUAAAGAGAAGGUCAUCUAUAUAUCUUGAGUAGGACACCAGGUUUUGUGUCCAGCCAUGUAUCUAUCCUCCCAUUCGGCCAUAUAGAGGUUGGCAUAGCUAGGCGCAAACCUGGUGCCCAUAGCAGUGCCUCUUUUUUGUAGGUAAAAACCAUCUUUAAACCAAAAAUAGUUAUUGUUAAGAAUUAGAUCUAUACCUUCAAUUAGAAAUUCUAUUUGGUCCUGUGACAUUGUGUUUUCUCUUUCUAAAAUGGUUCUCACUGCUUUACAACCUUGAUGGUGUUGGAUGAUAGUAUAUAAGGACUGAACAUCACAAGUGAUCAGAAAAAAGUAUUUUUCCCAUUGGAUAUUAUUUAACUUGUUUAGUAGAUCGAUAGAGUCUUUAAGGUAUGAUUUUGUUUUAACGACAUAAGGCUGUAAUAAAAUGUCUAUAUGUUCAGAUAAAUUGGAGAACAAAGAUCCGAUACCGGAUACUAUCGGUCUACCAGGGGGGUUGGUUACGUUUUUAUGAAUCUUAGGGAGGAAGUAGAUAACGGGGAUUCGAGGAUGUUGGAUAUUAAUAUAUAGAAACUCAUUUUUAUUAAGAAUACCAGAUCUUUUUCCUUCCUCUAAGAAUGUUUGAAACUUUUGUUUCAUCUCUAGUGUUGGGUUGUUGUGGAGUCUUGUAUAUGUAUUGUCAUCGUUUAAUUGUUUAUAGGCUUCAGUUUCAUAUUGUUCCUUUGAUAAGAUCACAAGACCCCCUCCCUUAUCUGCAGGUUUGAUUACAAUAGAGUCGUCAUUAUAUAGCUCUUCCAGUAAUUUCCUCUCAUGUUUGUUUAAAUUAGGUUUGUUGACAUAUUUAUUAUUUUGUUCUAAGAUUUUUAAAUCUUUAUGGAUCUUACGUUCGAAUAUCUCUAAUGCGCUGGAUUUUAGAUGGGCUGGGUAGAAGGUAGAUUUCUUUUUUAGAUUGCUUCUUAUAUAGUCUUUAUCUGUAUUGAUAUCUGUAAUAGUGUGUGUGCUUUCUUGUAUAUUCUGCGUAGCUGAUGUUUUUGAAGCAAAGAAUCUUUUGAGGGUGGCAUUUCUAACAAAUUUGUUUAUAUCGAUAUAAGUUAGAAAAGAGUUAUAUGUUCUAGUAGGGGCAAAUUUUAGGCCCCUUUUUAAUAUAUUUAUUUGGGAUUUAUCUAGGACUUUGUUUGAAAGAUUAAAUAUACCGGUAGGGGAGGCGUCAUUCUUUGUUUUUAGAAUCUUCCUUUUUUGUUCUCUUCUCCCUGCUCUUCUACCUCUAGGAUUCUUUUUCUGCUCUUUAUGGGUGUUAUAUUCAGACAGUUGGUGUUCCUGUCUUGAUUGAAUGGAAUCUCUAAAAAAGAGGUUUCGUCAAAUUGUUCACAGAAUGAUAGGGCUUGAUAUUUAUUUUUGGUGAUUAUUUCAUUUGGUGAGUUGUGUUUCCGAUUUAUAUAUUUGUUGUGUCUGUUGUGAUUUACCUUUUCCCAAGGAUUGUCUUUAUCCCUAGAUUUGUGUACUGGAGAACUAGGUAUAUGUGUAUAUUUGUGUGUUUUUGGUCUAACUACCAUAGGUGAUUCAUUCGGAUUGUGAAGUCUCUCUUUUCUUUGAUUUCUCAUAUUAUCGGUUCUGUAUAUUGUUUAUUUAGUUUUGAAAUCAGUAGGUUUGUAAUAUGUCUGUCUAGGUUUAUUAUAAAAGUCUCCAUUAAUAGUGUUGUGAGUCUUAGUGUCAUUUGUGGUAAUAAAUCUAUCUGUGAAUUUACGUGGUGAUUUUUUCCGAUAAUGUGAGUAUUCAGAUCUCUCAUUGUCAUCUCUGUAUUGAAGAUGUUUAGGUCUGAAAUUCUUUUUAUUUUCUGUGUUUUGAUUGUAUGAGUAAUUUGGAUUUCUCCAUUUUUGCUGUCUCGGUGCUCUUUUUGUGUUAUAGUGCGUAUUUGAUUAUUUGCAUAAUCGUAUUUGUCUCUGUUGUAUUUGUUUUUUUUUAUUUUUCUGAUAUCUGUUUCUGUUUUUUCCACUGUCUUUUUGAUAUUCUGUGUUUGGUUAAAAUAUUCUUCUGUAUCUGCAAAUGGGAUUAAUUGGUCCCUUAGACUAUUAAUUUUUUUGUCUAAAUUAAGCAAUCUUUCGCUCUUAACCUUAAUCAGACUUUUCGUUAAGGCCGAAUGUGCAAAACUCUAAGUGGUUAAACCACUCUUCCAUAAAGAUUUUAUUAUCUGUAUCUGAUGUCGGCAUUUUGAAAAGCCUAAGACCUCUCGGGGUAAUUUUGUCUUCGACAUAUUUACUGAGGGUCGCAAUUUCCCAUCUUAGCUUCAUUUCUUUAAUCAAGGAAAACUCUAGUUAUGUGGUGUGGUAGGCAACCUUUGGAUAAUUAUAUCUUGGUCUACUGUUUUACCCCAGGUUGCCCACCCCUCACAACACCAAUAUGGACAGAAAUUAAAAUCUCUAUUUGGGCAAUCAGGAUCAGUAGAUCUUUUACUGGGACAUAAAUAUUUGUCAUUGAACCCAUAAGUUCGUUCCCACUUUAAAUUACCACAUACAUUUCAAGGUUUUCCACUACCCGAGAUCGCCUUACAUGCAUCAAAUAGUAGAAUACCUGUAGAAUGUAUGGUAUUUAUCACCGUCCUAUUUAUCAAGGUCCCCUGAGAGUUACUAUUCCGAAUUACCAACCAAAUUGUACGGGGUUGGAAUUGGGGAUCAAAACAUUUAGACUCUCCCUCUACUGGGUGACACACACUGUAAUCAAUAUCCAAAUAUCUACAUUUAGAUACAGACCGCUUACAUUCAUACUGUGAGUGCCAAAUAAGAGUUUGGGAUAUUUGAUUACCUGUCUUAGUAGUCUUAAUGCAACUAUCAAAAUUCUGUAUGUCUAUACUCUUACCUUCCUGAAAAUUUAUAAUAAUACAUAAAUACACAAUAAAAUGUAUUAUUCCUGGUAUCCUCAUUCUUAUUUCUUCGACCAUGCGCCGGCACCUCAGCUUCCCAACUGUGAGGGCUGCAAGGAUUGGCGUUCUUCUGAUCCUCACUUUCCUUCACAGAGAUCUCUUCGAGACUGUAACGGACCGUUUUGCCCAAAAGAGGUUAAAAACCGUUUAGGCGAUAUUCCCCUUUUUCAGCUGCACCGACAGCUACUGCAAGCACCAAUCUCCUGAACUGCAAACCCACGAAUUCACCAACUCCCGAACUGCAACCAAGGGAAUACUCAAAACUCCCGAACUGCAUACCAAGGGAAUACUCGAAACUCCCGAACUGGAGACACACAAAUAGCUGCUAGCAGACGAACAGGAAAAGCCCACAGGCGGCUUACACUCCUGGCAAUCAGUUUCUAACAGCAUACAGUAAAUCAUCCCCCAAUAAUGAGAAGACACUUCACUUUGAGGGUUAAGCAGGAACUGAUUUACUGGGGCUAACUGCCCGGCUUUUAUGCAGGUCUCCCACCUGGUGGACACUCCCCCAGGGGACCAAAUGGGAGACUGGGACACAGAGGGUAAAAGGACCAAUCACAUUUCAACCAUUCCACAAUGCAUCAUAAUCCCUCCUCUCUGCCCUGGAGAUAAUUGGGAAGUAAUUCAAUUAUCUCCAAAGACAGAGGCAAAACUCCAUUAACCACAUGGCAGAAAACAAACAGUAAAAGACAUAAAAUUACCUACAGUUACAUUCAGUACAUAAAACAUAUACGUUCUACAUAUCCCCAGAUAGCUCAGGUCUGAGCGCACAUUAUUAAGCGAAUGGCGCUCAGACCACACGAAUACAGUUUAAUCGCCAUGGAGCCAAAGUCUUUACACAGUCAGUUUCAUGCGAAUGGGCUCCAUGGGAUUCCUAUCUGGGGCACAACACACUCAAACAAAACUACCGAACACCAGGCCGUUCGUGCACUUUCACCGAACAAGAAGGGAGGUCGGCGGCUUCAGCGGUGUUCGCGCAAAACUGUGUCCGAUUUCAGUUCCAUGAAUUAAGCGUCGAACACCGCUGUGCAUUCGCAUGUUUAGAAUGGCCGCGACCUCGUGUUCAUGAUACGAAUGGCGGCCACCCAGCAUUCGUCAAUUAAGCUACGGUUAACCGCAGCUUCAGGGAGGUUAAUUGCCGGCACACUCCAGCUCCCAGGUGGUCUAUUCAUUUGUGCGGUUGUUCGGUAGAUUGAAUCUACCGAACACCCGGCAGAAAAGCACAAAUAAGUCUUUUCUGCAGGGAAAAAAGAUGUCUUUUAACAUGGGGCCAUAGUCCAAAGGCAGCAGGUGAGCAACCAGGCUUCUCCAGUGUAUAGUGGCGAGGUUGGUUUCACCACAUUGUACGUCUGCAAUGUCCCCAUGUCCAUCUGUAAUUCCAGUCUCCCAUUUUGUCCCCUAGGGGAGUGUCCACCAAGUGGGAGACCUGCAUAAAUACGGGCAGGUAGCCCACAGUAAAGCCAGAUCCUGUUUGACCCUCAAUGCGGAGCUUCUGUCUCGUUAUUGGGGGGAUUUCUUCUUUGCGCUUAGAGACUGCUUAUUGGAACCGAAAGCCGCUUGGUGGAUAUCGUUGUUCGGCGGCUAGCAGCAGUUCGUGGAUUUCCGUUCGGGAGUUUGGAGCCUUGCACGGAUUCCGGUCGGGAGAUUGCCGCUUCCCCUGAUGUUGAUUCGUAUACUGCAGUCUAUGCGAAUAGAGUUAAUAGUAUUGCGAAAGGGGAAGGCUAACUAAAUGGCGGUUUCUCUAAAAGACGCCAGGGGUGUUUUAACACCUAGUAUAUCCAAUACUCAUUCGGUAGUUUCCUUCCGAACGGCCAGAGCAUCAAUAGGUAUUGUAACGAAAUCCCCUAUUUACAGACUAUACGAACAAGCCUGUUCGGUUAUUUGGAGAAUUACAGAGGGAUUUUGUGGAAAUAACAAUAAAUGCGAAUGAACUACCGAACCACCGACCUCCCACUGAGGUCGUGUGGCGCCUAUUGAACACCCUGACUGUUGCGGUUAACCACAGACUAAUUGGGGAAUAGCUGGUGGUCCACGUUCGUCUACCGAACACGUGGCAAUCGCCAUUUUGUUUUGUCGAACGCACAGCGGUAAAUGGCACGGAUUCCCUGGAACUGAUUUCGGCUACCUAUUUUGUCGAACACCGCUGUUACCUUCUCUCAUCCUCGUUCAUACGGUGGAAAACACACGAAUGAAGGGGAUAAUACUUCAUUCGUGCGCUGAAAGUAUGCGAACGUAACCGACACCAGAUAGUUAGAAUAUGGAACUUGCAGUCUGCUACAAACACACGAACGGCCGGUGAAAGGCAAACUUCAGUCGACGAUUCUGAGACCUGUGUUCGUGGGAUCUGAGCGCUAUUCGCCUAGAAUAUGCCCUCAGAUCCAAGCUAUCUGGGGAUAUGUGGAAUUUAAAGUUUAUGUUGUGUAAAAAGAAAGUUAUGUAUUUUUAUUCUGUUUUUACUAACUAAGAAAAGCCAUGUUUCUUUCUUCCUGGAGAUAAUUAAGGCUCUCUUUGCUACCUUAAUUUAAUUAUCUCCAGGAUGGAAAAGAGGGAGUGAUUUAGGUAAAAGGGGAGUGCUUAUGCUAUAGCCACUGUGAUUGGCUACUGUGUUACUUUUGUCCCAGUCUUCCAUCUGGUCCCCUAGGGGAGUGUCCACCAGGUGGAAGACCUUCAUAAAUACCGGGCGGGUAGCCCACAGUAAAUCAGAUCGUUUUACCCCUUCAUGAAGUCUCGACUCAUGUUUGGGGGAUUUGGAGUUAUAAUCACUUCGUUUCAGUUGGAGUUCGGGAGAAGCUGCAAGGAUCAUCGCUGCACGAAUGCAAGGAUCCUUUACAGGUAUACCUCUCCAUUCGGCAGAUAAAAUAAACGAUUCCCAUACGAAUACAAUAGCUUUACCAGACGAUUUCCUUAGUAAAGCAUACGAAUACCCAAACACCAGCCGGAGUCUAGAAGAAGGGUGCCACACCAGCCGGAGUCUAGAAGCUUUAUUGUGCCACACUGGCUUUUAUGCAAGUCCCCGUGUAAGGGGACAUCCCACAGCCAAUCAUAAUAAGAUAAAUAGUUAUACACUCCCAUUGCAAACAUAUAAUUCCCUCCCCUGAACCUGGAGAUAAUCAAGGCAGAUAACAUAAUAACUUCAUUAUCUACAGGCAUAAAAAGUACUGUUUUACCCAACUUUUAGAACACCCCUAAAAACGUGGGGUAUCCCCUUAAAAGUCAUAUCCCCUGAUAGCCCUGAUCUGGGUGACCAACAUAUCCAAAAAUCCCCCAGAUCAGUUCAGGAGUUUUCAAAUUCCAUGGAGGUCUUAGGUGACUGGCUUCACACAAGGUUGCUGCCCAAAACAGUUCUAUGAGUUUGGGUAGUUUUGCCGGUCAAUUUUGUGAAAUUGAAAUAAACUAAUAAUCCCAUGAACGGUUUCCCCUGGCUCCUAGCAGCGAUUGUUCCCCUCAUACGAAUGCGCAAAAGUACCGAACAGCACUCUCCUAGCUGUUCGGGAAACAAAGAUCCAGCGUUCGUAUGUUGGGACCGGUGUUCGGGAAGUCAAGUGUCCGAUUUUAGUUCCAGACACUCGACGACCAAGUCCUGCUGCCUUUGUUCACACAAACAAGAUGGCCGCCAUUUUCUCAGCCACGUGGCGUUCGGCAAUACAAAUGGCGGCCGCACAGGUAGAGGGUUUAAUUGAAGCAUGCUUUUGAAGUUAACGAGCCAGAGGGGUGGCCUCUGUUCGGUAGUUACAUCUACCGAAUGAAAAGGGGAGAAAUAACGAACACAAAGAGGGAUUUUUUCACAGUAGGUAUUUCGCUGUCUGUGUAUUAGGAGGGGAUGAGGGGUAGGUAUCUUGCUGUCUGUGUACUAGGAGGGGAUGAGAGGUAGGUAUCUUGCUGUCUGUGUAUUAUAAGGGGAUGAGGGGUAGGUAUUUUGCUGUCUGUGUAUUAUAAGGGGAUGAGGGGUAGGUUUUUUGCUGUCUGUGUAUUAUGAGGGGUAGGUAUCUUGCUGUCUGUGUAUUAUAAGGGGAUGAGGGGUAGGUAUUUUGCUGUCUGUGUAUUAUGAGGGGAUUAGGGGUAGGUAUCUUGCUGUCUGUGUAUUAGGAGGGGAUGAGGGGUAGGUAUUUUGCUGUCUGUGUAUUAUGAGGGGAUGAGGGGUAGGUAUCUUGCUGUCUGUGUAUUAGGAGGGGAUGAGGGGUAGGUAUCUUGCUGUCUGUGUAUUAGGAGGGGAUGAGAGGUAGGUAUCUUGCUGUCUGUGUAUUAGGGGGGGAUGAGAGGUAGGUAUCUUGCUGUCUGUGUAUUAUGAGGGGUAGGUAUCUUGCUGUCUGUGUAUUAGGAGGGGUAGGUAGGUAUCUUGCUGUCUGUGUAUUAUAAGGGGAUGAGGGGUAGGUAUUUUGCUGUCUGUGUAUUAGGAGGGGUAGGUAUCUUGCUGUCUGUGUAUUAUGAGGGGAUGAGGGGUAGGUAUCUUGCUGUCUGUGUAUUAGGAGGGGAUGAGAGGUAGGUAUCCUGCUGUCUGUGUAUUAGGGGGGGAUGAGAGGUAGGUAUCUUGCUGUCUGUGUAUUAGGGGGGGAUGAGAGGUAGGUAUCUUGCUGUCUGUGUAUUAUGAGGGGUAGGUAUCUUGCUGUCUGUGUAUUAUAAUGGGAUGAGGGGUAGGUAUUUUGCUGUCUGUGUAUUAGGAGGGGUAGGUAUCUUGCUGUCUGUGUAUUAUAAGGGGAUGAGGGGUAGGUAUUUUGCUGUCUGUGUAUUAGGAGGGGUAGGUAUCUUGCUGUCUGUGUAUUAUGAGGGGAUGAGGGGUAGGUAUCUUGCUGUCUGUGUAUUAGGAGGGGAUAAGGGGUAGGUAUCUUGCUGUCUGUGUAUUAGGAGGGGAUGAGAGGUAGGUAUCUUGCUGUCUGUGUAUUGGGGGGGAUGAGAGGUAGGUAUCUUGCUGUCUGUGUAUUAUGAGGGGUAGGUAUCUUGCUGUCUGUGUAUUAUAAGGGGAUGAGGGGUAGGUAUUUUGCUGUCUGUGUAUUAGGAGGGGUAGGUAUCUUGCUGUCUGUGUAUUAGGAGGGGAUGAGGGGUAGGUAUCUUGCUGUCUGUGUAUUAUGAGGGGGUUCCUUUGUGAGAUAUAUACUGAAUUGUCCCCCUUUUUUUCGCAGAUUUCACACUACCCAGCACUAUACAGAGAGAUGAAGACUUUCUGACCUUGUAAAAGCUCGGUACGAAAACAACCUGGAGACGGACAAUACGAUAAGUUGGGGUAAAGGGAUAUCAGCACAACAACACCAAAGGAAACCUGAUCACUGUGGAAACAGGGACCUAGGUGGCUAUAUGUUAUGUACAAGGAAAGGAUCUGAGAUCCACACUCCUCUCUGUUUUCUUGACUCGGGGAUCCCUAUAAAGGCCACUCUCGUCACACAAGAUUCACCUGCUCUGAAUUAAUAUGGUUCCUUAGGUUCAUUACAAUCUUCCCUUUAAUUCCACCAUAUAUUCCUCUGGAG